Molecule: long non-coding RNA, 50818 nt
Filed under: Ananas comosus (pineapple)
Lineage: Eukaryota; Viridiplantae; Streptophyta; Magnoliopsida; Poales; Bromeliaceae
Description: long non-coding RNA (ACOM_LNC033233)
Source: RNAcentral
GUACUGGAUCUUGAUUAAAUUGUAAUGUUGUUUAUGGAUUUUAAUAGAAUCUUAUUCAUCCAAUGUCUGAGUUCUUGACAUCUUAAGUUUUUCAUUGGUACUUGAUGACCAGCUGAUGUUCUUUGCAAAGAAAAAGAAACAUAAUUUGGAUGGUUAAUAUCUGACACAUCUAUUGUACUUUACAUGACCUUCUUUACUGUAACUUUUGUCCAAUAUCAUAAUUGAUUUAUUAGACUCAAAUUUUGAAUAGAAAUAGCUAAUUUAUUAUUGUAUAUGGUUAUUAGUAAAAGUAGGUGCAUGUUUGGACCUAGUCCACCACAUUUGUCAGGAACAAAUCAUAAUUUUCUACCCUUGGGACCUUAGAGUUAAAAUAUAAACCAUUCAAUGUUAUCUGCAACAUUUGACUGAUAUAUACACGAAAAAUCAUAACUUUUGGGAAUCUAUUAGCUAGGCAUCAAGAAGUUCUAAAAGUCAAUAGUGUUCAAGCUACUAUUUUUGGGAAGUUUAUGUUUUUUCACAUGCAAACCUUAAGAUGCUUUAAAUCUCAUAUGAUAUUCUAAAGUUUUUCUUUAAAACCUUUGAUAUAAAAUUGUGGUAGACCAAGCAUUGGUAUUGAGAUUUGGUGGAUUUGGCCCAAGUGCAGGAAUAAUUCCACUCCCAGGGAAGAAGCUGCCGUCCUUGUCUUAUAGGGAGAUAUUGAUGCUUGAUCCUAGUCUGCUGUAUUAGCGAAGAGUCAACAAUGCUUUCAACGUUAGAGGUGUUAAAAUUAUAGAAUAAAUUACCAGAUGUGAUCUACAACACAUAAUAGUCAUUAUAAUAUUAGAAGUGGUCUACAACAUAUAAAUGGUCUAUAUAAUAGAUAUCACAAGUUUAAAAACUAUUAGUUAGACAUUAUGCGGCCUUAAAACUUAAUAUUGUUAAAAGAGCUACUCUGUCAAUGGUCUAAAAUGUUACUUUACAACCUUUAAAUUUGAGUUUUGGUUGAUGGUGUAGCAAGUCCAAGUAAUAAUUUCACUAUUGAAGCAGGAAGUGUCAUCCUAACUGAGAAGGGAGAUAUUAUUGCCCGCAACCAGUGUAUACAUACACUCAAACUCAUUGCAGUUAAUAUUUGAUGAUCAAUGUAUUAAAAAUCAAAAUCUAAUUUGAUAAAUGUGAUCCAUAUUGUUUAAAGAGUCACAUUGUACAAAUUAAAAUGUAUUUUGAAAUUCAUUACUGAAGCAUUAAGUAGUCCCAAAAAUAAAUGGUAGAGAAAGGGUUAUUAUUUGAUUUGUGAUAAAUUGGUGUUCAAAAUUUGUUGUUUUUAGGGGCUGUUUGGUUGCACGCAUUUGCAACUGCAGUGCAGUUGCAAAUGCGUGCAGCCUUAAUUCCUUUGUUUGGUUUAGUGUAGUUGAGUUCAACUGCUGCAAUUCCAACUACACAAGAAGGUCCAAAUGCUGCAGUUGGAACUACAUCCAAAUUGGCCGUAGUUCCAACUGCAGCAGUUGGUGAGGGAUAGGAUCACUCACAAAUUAACAAUAAUAAAUAAAUAAAUAAAUAGCUAAAUAAAUAAAUAAUAUAUGUAUAUAGGUAAAUAAAAAUACUUGUAAAUAAACUCAUACUAAUAAAAUUUUUUAGACAAUACAAGCUUUGUGCAAAAAAUUAAAUUUUUUAAAUUUAUUUUAUUUAAAAUAUAAAUAUAGUUUUUUUAAAAAAAUUUUAUAGAAUGUGAUCGUGUAUGUUAAUUUAAUAAGUUUUAAUUAAUUAUAAUUAUUAAAUUUGAUAGUUAAUUUAAUAGGUUUUAAUUAAUUAUAAUUAUUAAAUAUGAUAAAAAAAAAUGAGAGAAUCGUUUAAAUUUUAAAGUUUGAUUUACAUAUUAAAAUUAAAUAAAUUAAAAAUUUUAACUGUGUCGAUUAAUAAGUUGAAGAAUAUUAUAUAUAUAUACUUAUUUAUUUAUAAAUAGUAAAUUUAAAUGAUUAAUAAACUUAUACAAUUAUUUUAUGUUUAGUGAAGGUAAUCUCACCACUCUUUCUGAAAAUGUGAUAAAAUUCACAAAUACAACUAUCAGCUUCAUAUUACCAAACAGAAGAAAUGUAACUGCAGCAGUUGCAACUGCGUAAAACCAAACAAACUAGGUGUAGUUACAAUAGCAGCAUUUACAACUGCAUGUAUUUCCAACUACACUAUUUCUGCAACUACAUCCAACCAAACAGCCCCUUAGUACACAAGCCUUUUAAAUGGUAGAGAACAUAUCCAAUGAGUUGGAUUCUGAUUUUGAGGCCUCUAUCAUAGAGAAUUAGAGCCAUGGUGUAUAAGAUAUAUGUAUACACCUGGUGCAGGCAAUAAUUUCUCUUGAGAAAGAAAGUGAUAGUUGUGUUGGGUGCGUGGGUUCCGACCCAUCAUUGAAAGCAUGAUGUGUCACUAGGAGGAUGCCUUAACCCAACUUUUGUGUGUACUGUGUAGGAUAUUAACUAUUAUUGGUAGAAGAAUAUUAGUGAAAGAAUUAGGCAAAGAGAAAGAGAGCUAUAAGUACCUUUAUUUUGGAUAGUUUUUAUCUGAAAAAUAGUAGAAGUAAUGGAUAAGAAUAUAAUGAUCAAGGAUAAACAGUACAGAGGAAAAUAAAAUGACAAGGGGUAAACCAAAGAACCAUUUAGAAAACUAUAAAUCGGACAAAGCAGUUUAACUUUUUGACACGUCCUACUCUAAUUGUUCUGAAAUUUGUGCUUAUCAAACAUUUCUUUGUAUAUACUAGAUGGCGGCAAAUGAUGUAGUUUCAGCUUAUUUCUAAUUUUUCUGCUGACUUAGAUAUGAUGGUGAAGCAUAUAAGGAUGCACCAGAAGGUGACAAUUGGCAUAGUUUUCAGCUAUAUUCAAAAUUUUCCAUUUACUGUAAAUUAUAACUAAGAAAUAACUCAGGAAAGUGUUAAUUAUUAAACAUCUACUGCUGGUUUUUAUGCAAUUAAUCUACAAAAAAUAGUAAAAACCAAAUUACAAAAUAUGUCAUAAAUAAACUAGAAACAAUUGAAAUAAUUUUGUGCAUUGUGUGGAUUACUUUCUACUAGGGGAUGUAAAUUUGGAUUUUAAUCAAUAGCAUCUGAAAGUACUAAAAAUAGGAGGGACAAACAGAAACUAUCAAUUCAUCCAAUAUAUAAUAGUUAAUAAAGCAAAUUAUUUUACUCAAUCCGACAGCAAUUUUGUAAAGCAAAUAUUGCAUGUAUACUACAGUCUCAAAUACUCUGUAGUACCAAAUAAAUAUUAGUUUAUUAGAUGUGGCAGUUGCGAAAUUAUAGCUUUAUCUUGUAAUAAAGUAUUUAAAUGUCUGAACUCUCUCUCUCACACACUCUCUCUCUAUACAUAUAUCUAGUCUAGCUGGGAUACUAUUGAUAGUAAAUGAAUAGUAUUUACUAUCAACUUUUUCUAGCCCUUGAAUCAAUACUAUUCCACUUGCCGCCAUUGAACCCUAGGCAUCUAAGGGCUGAAAAGCAAAAUAGUAAACACUAUUUCAUUUACUAUCAAAAGUAUUCUUGCUUCAUUCUAGAAAAACUAGAAUAUAUUGAUAGUAGAGGAAUAGUGUUUGCUUUGUACUUCUUAUCCCUCGAAUGCAUAGGGUUUACUAAUUGGCGGUGAUAUAAUUAUGGAUCCAAGGGCUAAAAAGUUGAUAGUAAACACUGUUCAUCUCCUAUCAAUAGUAUCAUAGCUCAACUCUCUCUCUCUCUCUCUCUCUCUCUCUAUAUAUAUAUAUAUAUAUAUAUAAGAGUAUAGUAGCCCUCCUCUAUAUGAGUCUGGCUACUAUACUCUUAUGAGUACGAUUGCCCUUGUACUCAUAAGUCAUUUUCGAUGAUAGAGCUUCCGAAUCGACGAUCCAUAUUGUUAACAUUAUCUAGAACAUUUAAAACUUCUAGAAAUCAAAUUUUAUAAAUUUUCGAUAUCAUUUACCUUACGAUCAAAAGUUCACAAAAUUGACAAUUUUUAACGGCCAGUAUGGGAUACUUACUAGUUUAACGGUGUAAAAGAAUUGGAAUAGGUUGAAUUUUUAAUAAAAAAUUCUAUUCACUACCUAGAUAAAGAUCAAUAACUCCGAUCUUAAAUUGAAGGAUCCGAUCAUCCAUUUUUACGACGUCGUUCGAUUUUGACCAUUCAUUUUAUGCCCGCUUGAUGGACUUUAUUAUGAUUUCGAAAAAUUACGAAAUUUAUUUUCUAAAAGUUUCAAAUACUCUAGAUCAUAUUUAACGGAGUGGAUCAUUGAUUCGGAAGCUCUAUAAUUGAAAACAACUUAUGAGUACGAAGGCUCCUAUACUCAUAAGAGUAUAGUAGCCCUGCUAUAUAUAUAUAUAUAUAUAUAUAUAUAUAUAUAUAUAUAUAUAUAUAUGUGUGUGUGUGUGUGUGUGUGUGUGUGUGUGUGUGUGUUAGUUCUGACAAAACCAAUAAUUGAAUUAAAAACUGGGUAAACUUCAAUUUGUCCCCUUGGUUUAGCUCAUUUUCAUUUUCAUUUUGCCAUCCUAUGGUCAAAAAAUUGCACUUUACUAUCCUAUAGUUUUUAUCUUUAUUUUUUCCAAAAAAAUCUACUAUUAAACAGGGUAGCAAAGUGAAAUUUUUGGAUAACCAUAGGAUAGUUAAGAGUAAAAUUUUGAACUACUACGUGACAAAGCAAAGAUGUGCUAAGUCAUUGGGUAGUUAAGUGCAAACUUUUUGAACCAUAAGGUGACAAAGUGAAAAUAAGCUACCCAUUGGGGGGCCAAAUUGAAGUUUAUCCUUAAAAAUUGUUGGAGAAUGUCGACUAGGAAAUUUGCAGUAUUAUUCCAUCAUCAACAUAAUUUGGACAAAAGCAGAAACAAAGAUGCUGGAUAAAUUAAUAGAGCAAAUGAAUGCUAUUCCAGAAAAGCUCUAUGUAUAAAAGAUAUGCAAGAGAACAAAGUAAAUUGGAGUAUUUUGUAGAUCACAUAUUUUAAUGUUAUUUGUGGUUGAAAACUUGUUAAACUGAAUUCCUCGUUAUGAUUUACUCAUGAUUUCUUAAGUAAUAUCCGCUCAAAGGCAUUGUAUGCCAUUCUUGUUAUAGUGUAGUAAAAUCCUAUUUGAAUGCUGGCUAUUUUAUCCCUUUAAGAUUGAAUAUUCCAAAUUGAGAAUCUCUUGAGGAGCCAAAUUUCAAAUAAGAGUUUUUAGCGAAGAAACUACAGAAUUCUAUGAGCUUGGGAUUAAACAUUUCUUUUUUGAAGUGACUUAUGUACAGAAGCAUUUGAACUGUCCAAAAUAACCAGAAUUCUAUGGGCUUGAGAUUAACUAGAUAUGGUUAUUGUGGAUUUGUCUAUAUAUCUAUGUAAAGAAGCAUUUGGACUGUUUAUAUCAAAUGUACCACUGCUGACUCAUUAUUGUUGCUUCUAGGAUGUCACUAUGAAGAUCAUAUCAUUUUCCCAGCAAGGACCUAGAGCUAUCUGCAUUCUAUCAGCUAAUGGUGUGAUAUCCAAUGUUACCCUUCGUCAGCCUGACUCAUCCGGUGGUACAUUGACUUACGAGGUUUGUAAACAAACCCUUCUCCAAAAUCAUAGUUAAAUAUGCAUCAUUCUGUUAUAAAUUGGCUAGCCACAUAAGCUAGGACUAUAGUUUGAUGUUAUGAGGUAAACUAUUUUGGGGCACAAAAAAGCCCAUGAAUUUGAUGACUUAAUCCUUGAUUCUGCAUAAUACAGUGGAUUGUAUAUCAACCUUUCCGAGUUUGUGUUAGUUUAGGUGAGCGACGAUGAGCAUGAGAUGAAGUGCUAUCUUUUAGACAACUAGUUUUAUUUUCCAGUGAACUUUUACCUUAGGUGCACGACCUACCGUACAUGGUGCCAUCCUUUUGAAGCAUGAGGUUAGUUUUACCCUAGGAAUUGUAAGCAAUCUUUCAUUUUACUGAAAAGGAACUUAAAAUGGUGUGCCUUUGGAAAUUUUUCACAACAAAAUGACUGCCAAGCGAUGUCUUUGUGUUAGGCAUGGCUAGAUGAUGCUGCACAAGAUAAGGCAUCCUACGUUUAGGUGGAUUCUAGGAGUAAAGAAUUUUGGAUUGUCAGGAAAGAAGAGAGGAUUCAUAACCUUAAAGGAGAAUUUGGGAGAAACUAACUUCUAAAAUAUGAUUUGCAAAGUUUCUGAAUAGUUUCAGAAAUUUUCUGAGAACUUUUCAGAUUUUUUCCAUUUUCUGAAUUAAAGGGAUUUUUAAAAUGAUUUUCGGAGUUAAAUAUUCUGAAGUGAAUUAAUCUGUAAAACAUUGUGGAAGGCCAGCACAUAUUAUUGAAUUAAUUUGUUUUUUUUUAUUUUUAUUUUAAUGUUCGAAGUUCAAAAACAUCCAAGAAAAUAAAAAAAAGAGAAACCACGAAAAUUAAAUAAAACAGCAAAAAAUGUUGGAAAAUUUAGAUACAAAGAUGAUGUGGAAAUAAUAAUCAGGACUCACUUUUUAAUCUUAACUCAAUUUGGGGUUGCAUUCUGUCUAGCAUGAGGCAGUUCCGACGGAAAAGGGCGCACCAUUAUCAAAGCCUUUUCUUUUUUUUUUUUUUGAGAGGGAGAGAGAGAUUGUCAAAGGCUUUGAUAUUAUUCAUAGGUGGAAAAGUUCACCAUUCAAUUGUGAUGACUAUGAAGCUUGAGGCUUAUUUAUAAAAUCCUUGGCCUUGAAAAUCUAACUAGCUGAGGAUUUGAUCCUAUUCAUAAUAGCUAAGAUAGAAUAAAAAGUGCAGAAGAUCAAUAAAGAUUAGAUAAAAACCAUGAGAACAACUAAGCCUAUCAUCCUAACAAUCCAGCAAGCUUAAAAUGAGAUUAAAUUACAAGAAAGGCUCCUUUUACUUCAGCUUACUUCAGCCUAAGUAUCAAUUACUCUCCUGCAUAAAAGAAUUAUAUCAAUGUCAACCAUUCACUUUCCUGUGUCAACUUGGCCCAAUUUGGAUAUUUGAAUGCUUAUUUUCCAUGGACUAUUUCUGCUUUUUAAAAAUUUUCUUGCGUGCUUGAGAUUUUUGAGAGGUUUCUACUUCAUGCUAAAUGUGCAAGGCUAGCACUUUCCCUCCAAAUAUUCCCUCCUAUGACUAAUGAGACGUAAUUGGGCAAAUGCCUUUUUUUUCUGCUAUUUCUGUUGUAUAGGCUUUAGUUGUUCAUUCUGAUGCCAUUGAGAAUGGCGCUUUGUGAUGCGGCAUCUCAUUUUUUAAAAAAGACAACUAGUUUGUUGUAACUUGUAACUUAUCUCAUUUGUUUUGUAGGGUCGUUUUGAGCUGCUUUCCUUAUCUGGAUCAUUUAUGCCAACUGAAAAUGGUGGAACAAGAAGUCGAUCUGGUGGGAUAAGUGUUUCCUUAGCCAGCCCGGAUGGUCGUGUUGUGGGUGGUGGAGUUGCUGGCCUUCUGGUAGCUGCUAGUCCUGUUCAGGUAAUACUGUUCAAGUCCUAUCAAUCUCUAAUACUUCAAUAUUCUGCCGUACACAUUAGCUUCUUAUUAUGGUGGAAAGCAAAUUUGUUUUCUUUUCUUUGUAAUUUUUUGCUAGGCCUUGUUCAGUUAGUUGUCUUUUUUUGUUUUUUGUUUUUUUUAAAUAGAAUUUCUACAUGAAAUAGCAUAGGAGGGACUUGCAAUCCUUAUAUCUAAGGUGAUUAUUUGGCAAUAACAAACAAAAACUGGGAAGCAAGUGUCCAAGGGUUUUUUUAAAAAAAAAAAAAAUAAUAAAAGGAUUGCAUCCGUUACUUGGGAGGAGUGCAUUGCAAGCUAACCAAACACAGGAGUGCUGUGUUUAAAAAGGCAAAAAACCAGCAAUCAUGCCAAAUUAAUCCUUCACCCAGCCAAAAACUGCUUUUCAGCUGCCGUCCAAAUUUUUUUCAUAAUUCUUUCUUUGCAAACUCGACAAGAUUUUUACAUAUGUCGGAAUAUAUUUUAUUGGAAACCAGUCACUGUCUUGUUUAAAUCCAGAUGUUGGUCUUAUCUUUUCGAUUAAUUUGUUAUACAUAAAACCCUUGUAAUUUUCACAUUGCUCUGAUGGAAAACGAAAACCUGUAUACCAACCCUCCAUAGUUUGAAUAGUUAACGACUUUCUGUUCCUGUCAGUGACCAUGAGAAAAUGUUAGAAUACUAUAAUUACAAUGGCUAUAAUUAUUUUCCAUUAUAUUUCAUUUUAUUGUCAAAAAUGUGAACUGCCCCUGCAAUAUCACAAUUUUCACUUAUGCUCCUAAAAGGUUAAAAAAAAAACAUUAAUUUAUCUCGUUUAAUGUUUAGACCAUUACAGCUUGUCUUGCUUUCCUACCAUUUUCUCUCCAAAACUGUUAGAUUAUUUUGAAACAUGACCCGAAAUACCCAUAACACCCUUUUUAAUAUUUCCUGUCAUACUUGAAUAUUUUCUGUUUUCUGCCCGUUCCUAGACACAACAUGUAAAAAAAGGGUUUACUAGUAACAGUCGAAAGAUUGAGGAUGUUUUUCAAGAAGGUGAAACGCCAAUUGCGAUAUUUUCGAAGAUUUUUUGCAUUUAAGCCUUAAAUAGUUUCUAAUAGUUCCCGCACAUGAAUUAUGGCCUAGGAGGGUAACGCGCUGACGGUCUAAAUUAAGGGUUUUAUUUUCAUCGGGAGAACAUGCAAAUACUCUGAUAUUUCUUGCAUGCUGUUUGGAAUUUAGCUUUGAUUGCAUUAAUUUUCUCAACCAAAUACCAGCUUGAUCUUUUUCGCUAUUCAAGAUCUAGAUGGCUUGAUUCUCUGUGCCUCUCUCUCUCCCCCUCAGGUUGUGGUUGGGAGUUUCUUGCCGAGCUACCAGCUGGAGCAGAAGGCGAAGAAGCCAAGGCUAGAUCGCGUACCCGCGUCUACGCCCACAUCAGCCCCAGCUCCGAUUUCCGCUGCAGAUAUGGAGGAGACUUACAGCAGCGGACAAGGGCCGCCGCGCAGUUCAGCACCGUCAAAGUUCACCAUCACUACAUCUUUCAGAGGCGACAAUUGGUCUUCCCCUCUGCAGUCUGUGCCCGACUCGAGAAACUCCGCGACGGAUGUCAAAAUCUCCAUACCCGGCGCGUGAAAGAUCCGAAACUAAGAAACGCUUCCCUUCACAGUUGCCGCCUCCAUUGGCGGAACAAAGCAGUAGGAACUGACUCAUCUAACUUUGUAAAACUUAUUUGCAUGGAUUUUAUUAUUUAUAGGACAGCGAACUUGGAAGAAGGUUUCUUUGUAGGUUGUUGUUCAUGAUUUUCUGCCUUCAGUUAAUUACCCUGCGGAUGUUUAAUUUGUGACUCAUGCGUUUUUCAUUCGAUGAUGUCUAGAUUCUAUCAUUACUAUUUUCGGCAAUUCUUUUCUUUUCAUUAUUAUUAUUAUUGCGUAAGUUUUUGGUGGUUUCAGUGUAUUAUUUUUAUCCAGAUUUUUCUAGCUUCGUCUAGGGGGGCACAUAGAUCGAAUGGGAUCGUGAGAUACCCCGUUAUGAUGCCAUGUCGAGAAAAUGGUUUUUUGUGUGUUUUUUUUUUUUUUUUUUUUUUUUCCUUCUUUUUUAUAGGUAAAAAGUUUUAAAAAGAUUUUUCAUACGUGAAUUAUGUAGAUUCUAUAUAUCUGCUAAAAUUUGGAGGAAUUUUGUGAGUUUUGUGGCAUAAUAAGACGUAUAUUUAGUGAAAGGAUACAAUUAUGAAGAUUUGCCCUAAUUAUUCAUGGUAAGUCAAUUAUAGUUUUAAUAUUUUACUCAAUUUUUAUCCAGUUACGAUUUUAAAGCCCUUCGAAAUAGGAUCUGGAUGUAGGAUUUUGGUGAAUUGAAAAUAGAGGAGGUUAAAAAACAUGGAAUAGGGAAACUUCGCAGGUGUCAUCAUGUAAGAAGAUUUGCUGAGAGAACCAGAUAACAGAGCUUUAUUCACUGAUUUUUAGGGUUUUAGGGUCGCAAAAGCCCAUGUGGUGCUCGCUUGCUUUCCUUCGCAAAGUGAGCAAGCCUGUCUCCAACAUUUUAGCAUGGAUCUACUUAUAAGAAGGCAUGUUUGAUAGCCCGAAAAUGACUAAAGUGAAAAAGUAAUCUUUAUAAAAGUGACUUCUGAGUUCGAUUGUUUGAUUGGCUAGGCAGUGAAAUAUAAAAAAUUAUAGUUUUAUAGUUUUCAUUAUUUUAUCAUAUAAAAAGAAGUGAGAACAGAGUUGAACUACUAUACUUUUGGAAGCACCAUUUUUCAACUUUUUAAGCCUUCAAAUCCUUACUAUUGCAGAGCACCAAUUAACAAACUUUAUAGGGAUCCAAGGAUCUAAAAGUUAGAAGUAUAUACUUCCAAAAGUAUAUAGCCUAGACAAAUGACUUACAUUCAUAAUUUAAAUUCAAAUAUAUAUUUAGAAUUCAAAAUUAAAUUUUAAAUUUCGAAUAUAAAUUAUAUUUAUAAAUAAAAUUUAAGAUAUAUAAUUAAAUUUACAAUUUGAAUUUAAAGUUAAGUUACAACUCAUAAUUGAAAUUAAAUUCUAACAUUAAAUUGCAACUUAAAAUUAAAACAUUAAUUCAAUUUUCAAUUCGUAAUUUAAAUUUACUAUUUGAUUGUAUAUUUUGAAUUCAAAUACAAAUUCAUAAUUUGAAUUAUAAUUUAAAUUUAAAUUUGUGUUUGAAACAAUUCAAAUUGAACAAUUGAAUUUGUAAUUCUAAUUUGAAGUUCAAACUAAAACUAAUCAUUGAAACUAAAUUCAAAAUGCAAACUUAAAUUAAAAUUAUAAGUUCAACUUAAAAAUUUAAAUUUUGAUUUCAAGUUCCAAUUUAUAGUUUCGAACAACUUGAAUUCAAAGUUCAAGUUGAAGCUCCUAGUUAACAAUAAUUUGAUUAAAAUUUAAAAUCUAAAUAUUUAAUUUAAAUUUAAAAUCAGAAUUCAAAUUUAAUUAAAAUUUUAAAUUUAAAUAAAAAUUUAAAAAUUUUGUGUUGGAUUUGAGUUAUAAAUAGAAUACAGAAUGUGAAAUUAAAUUGAUGAUUUUAAUUCAAAUUUAAAUUAAAAUCUAACUUCAAAAUAAAUUCAAAGAUUAAAAUUAAGACCAAACAUAGCCUAUUAGAUAGGCUCUCUAAUUUUGAUGAUUUUGAAAUUUUUUGAACUAAAGGUAGAAAAGUUAUAACUUACUUUAUCAAUCUACUUUUAUAAAGUAUCUUUUAGAUACAUUUUCACGAAUCAACUAAUCAAUAAGACAUCACAUUUUUGAGAAGUGCUAUUUUCGAUAUUUCACUUUCACCAAAUCAAACAUGUCUUAAAACUAUGUAGCAAGAAAGAGAGAGAAAAGUUCUUUUAAGAUAUUGUUUGAUUCGGAAAAAAGCAAGAAUUGCUUAUUUUUGGGAUAAGUACAACUUCUGAGAUAAGCAAAAAAUAAGAUCAAUUUUUGAAUUUAGAUAAAACUAGAUUAUUCAUAAGAACAAAAAAAUAUUAGCAUUUGGAUAGUUAGAUUGGAACAGCAGGAAUAAGAGUAAUUAUAAUUUUAAAAUAAUAGUAUUUUACCUAAUUAAUAAACAUUAAAAUAUUAAUUAAAUAAUAAUUUAUUUAAUUAAUAAAUUAAUUAACAAUAAAUACCAUACAAGAUAAUGGAGAAGUAUAUUAAUUAAUUAAUUAACUAUAAAAAAGUUAACUUAGUAGUUAAUUUGUUAACUAUUUAAUUAGUUAGAUAAUAGUUAAGCAAUUAAUUAGACUAGCCAAAACAUUGUUGGUUAAUCAAUGUAAAUAUCAGUUGAUGUCUAAACUACAUAAAUAAUUAAUUUUUAAUUAGAUAAAUAAUUAUAAAUAAUAAAUUAAUUAGUCAAAUAGUUAAAUUAUUGAUUAAUUUUAUAAAUUAAGGACAUUUUUGGUUCGCCCAUUUUUUAUAUAGGAAUCGGAAUCGAAAUGCAUGAUUUCGUUUGUAAAUAUUUGGUAUCUCAACUAUCAUUCCAAUUUCAAUUCCUGGGUGGAAUGAGAAUCUUCCGAUUUGGAAGUUGAAUUCAAGCAGAAUGGAUGUUUAUUCGGAUUAUAUUUUAACCUUAUUUUUUAAUUAAAAUAUAAAUUUAAAUUUAAAAAUAAAAUUUAUAAUUUUAAAUUUUAAUUUGAACUUCAAUUAAAAAAUAAAAUUUAAUCAAGCGUUUCAAAUUUAAUUUAUGAAUUUGCAUUUAAAUUAAAAUUUAAUUUAAAAUUUAAAGUUUUAUUUAAAUUUUAUUUAAAAUUUAAGUCAAAUUUUAUGGAUUCAAAAUUGAAAUUUAAAUUGUAAUUUUUAGUUUGAAUUUGAAUAAAUCAAAAUUUAGUUUUAUAUUUUGAAUUAUCCACUCAAUUUCAAAUUUUAAUUUUUUAAAAAAUAUAUUUAAAAUUUAUACAUCAUUUUAAAAUUUUGAUGUAAAUUUUUAAUAUUUAAUUUUUCGUUUGAAUUUAAAUUAUAAAAUUCUAUGUUUUGAGUUACGAACUCAAUUCUAAAUUAUCUUACCAAUCCAAAUUCAGAUGGAUCUAAUAGAAAUGUUUAGAUUUUUUUUUUAUUUACAAUGUCAUAGUUUUGAGGAAUUUUAUAUGAAAUUUUAAUAACAAAUUUUUUUCAGACUAUUUGGAAUAAUGAUGUCACGCCCCGGGACAGGCGGAGGCCCUCCCGGUAGCGCGCCCAGACCCGCCAUAUAUUAGCACAUAUAAGGCGUCUACAACAACAGCGAAAAAUAAAAUCAAAGAUGAUCUACAACUAGAGAUAUCAGAGUAAGUAUACAUCUAUCAUCUAUAACAAAAGUAAAUAAAGCGUAACUAAACAAUAAAGGUAAAACAUAGAGUUAUACAAUAAUCAUCUCCAAAAGGGUACACAAAAAAAGGUGGUAUCUAUAUAUGGAUAUAACUCUUAACCUCUCCAAAAAGAAAACAACGAGAGGUAGACCACCUAACAACGCGUCCCUCGAUAGCAAGCUAGCUCGAGGUGAUACUCUUUCUGCGGUCCCUAGCCUCUCCCGGCGUGGAAGGCUCUGAAAUAAGACAUAAAACAGAGGGCGUGAGAAACUAUAAUUUAUAGUUCCCAGUGGGCAAUUACUGACCUCAGUUCAUUGCACUACUAGCCCCAAAAGAAAAUGGUAAGUACGGAAAAGAAGAUAAUAAUAAUAAUAAACUGUAAGUGUAAGAGCAAGUAAUGUUUGCUAAAUUUACUAUGCCAUAAACCAUAAGAUGUCAAUGUAUCGUGCAUGUAUUCUAUCAGGUUGUAGUAUAUCCAAUGCAUGACUACUAUGUCCCAACGUGGCAAGAAAGUAGAUAACAUGAUCCAUUCUAUCAAUAUAUGAUGAUUAUGCUCUAUCAUGGCAACUAAAUAUACUAUGAUGCAAUAGGUAAAUUAUCAAGUAUACUACAUGUCUCAACACUGUGCCAUAAGCAUGUCAAAGUAAUCCAACUACUAAUCCUAUCUAGUAGUGAUUGUCAUUUCCCGAUUCAAUAUCAUCGUUUAAUCAUGUUCUAGGACCUACAUAAAUGUAGUCCAGCUUGUGCCACCUAAGUGUCAGUGGUAGCUCCAGCAUUCCCACUCUAGGAAUGAGUCUAUCCCUACCGACCCCAUAGGUUUCUCGAUACCGCACGAGCGAGCAUAAGUCACGUAGGCCAACUCCGGAGUCCGGCUUGUAGGGAGCGACCCUCACAAGCAUGUGCGAAUGAGCACAAAUGACAAGCAAGCGUAGUCAACGUCUCAAAAGUCCAAUCAUCAUGUCUCUAAUAUGGUAAAAGUCACUAGCAUCUCAAAAAUCUAGUUCAAUGUCUCAAUGUGAAGUUUUAACGGUUCAAUAAAUUCCAUGUCAUUGACCUUAGCUUCACUAUGUCCAUAUGUAUUCCAAGCCUAAUGCCUCUUUAUGACAUUAGCUUACGAUAUUAUACAUCAUGUACAUCUAUGCCCCUUUAUGGCAUUAUAUCACACUAUGUCCAAAUCUUGUUCUAACACUAAUGCCGCUUUAUGACACUAGGUUUCACUUGUCCCAAGUACAUUACAAGCUCAAUGCCCCUUUAUGACAUUGGCUCAGUAGUUUGCAAACAACACAAGUCCCAAGCCUAUUUAUGGCUUACCCAAAUCUCUUAAGUCUCAUCUAGGUAUAGAUUCGAAUACAUAAUACAAUUCUCAUUUUCACUAUCGGAAAUCAAGGUUCCAAGUUCAAAUAGAAUGCCCAACACAUGCACGAGUCAUUUAUACAAGUUCUCUACUACAUAGAGAUCCGAAAAUUCAUUGUACAUAACAUAGGCAUGUUAAGCAUUCUAAAAUUCACAAAUAAUGCAUUUAUCAUGAAUAUGCCAGAAAUUUCACUUUACGAAACAUAAAUCACCAAAUAUGAGAAUUUUUCAUAUUAUAGGCUAGGUCAAACCGACCGAAACUUGCGUAACCCUUCGUUUACCCCAACGAGGGUGUCCACUAGCCUCCUAGCACCCUAAAGAUGUAGGAACAAGGGUCAAACCGACCGAAACUUGCGUAACCCUUCGUUUACCCCAACGAGGGUGUCCACUAGCCUCCUAGCACCCUAAAGAUGUAGGAACAAAGGUUAAACGAAUCUUACGAUCAACCCUAAACUCAAACAUUAGCCUACUCAAGCUAAGGUGGAGAAAACUCACCUCCAGAGUAAAAUCUCUUUUCAAGCUUCAAAGGAGAGCUAGAACCCUUCCAAUCCAACCUAAAGAAAGGUUCUAAACCAAGUGAUUAAACUCCAGAAGCCCUAAAUCAAAAAUACCCAAAAUUAACUAAAACCUCAUUCUAGGGUUUCAUCUCAACGAAACCAUCAAAUCUUGAAAUCUUGGGGAGAAAACAAGUUGCUUACCUCUUAGAAGCUUCAAUCCAAGCUCAAAACCCUCUAGGUCCAAAGAUCUUUCCUCAACCAAGCUUUAAAACCAAGCCUCAACCUUCAACCAUGGUGGAAAUGCACCAAGAGGGAAGAAGAGAGAGAUUAAUCUACCAAAAUCCAAGAGAAAUGGAUAAAAUCACUAUUGAGGGACAAGGAGAAGCUCCCUUACGUCAAUUCCCUGUGUUCCCAGCUCAGGGAAAUGCCCUAGGGGCGUGGGGACACAUAUAGAGAAGCCACUUUGCAAAAACACCCCUGCAGUUCGACCAUUCAGAUUCUGCCGCAGUGUACCGGUACACGGGUCCGCGUACUGGUACAGCCAUCAACCCUGUACCGGUACAGCCAUCAACCCUGUACCGGUACGCAGCCCCGAAAAUAACAAUCUGAGAGCAGUCUAAGUUCUCCACUUUGGCGACCUUAGCGCUACUUAAAAUACUACAAAUCUCGAGAUACGAGCCAUAGGUCGAAACACUGUCGACGACCCACCAGAAAAGCUGAAAAAACUCAGAACACAAGCCAAACACUCCAACCUCGCAAUUUGCAAAGGUACAUUGUGUUACAUUCACCCCUCCUAAAAGGGAGUUUCAUCCGCGAAACUCGAAAAGUAAAGUACCUCAAGCCUCCAUCUGAAAGAGAUGGGGAUCGCGCUCCUACAGUGCGCUCUCUAAAUCCCAAGUUGCCUCGCGUUCAUCGUAGCUGUUCCAAAGCACCUUCACAUAGGGAAUCUCACGGUUUCGCAGUCUUUUCACCUCGCGAGCCAAAAUCCUCAAGGGUUGCUCUUCAAAGCUCAAUUCCUCCUUCAGCUCCAAUGGCGUCGCUUCAAGCACAUGAGCUGGAUCAUGGAUGUACUUUCGAAGGACCGAUACAUGAAAAAUAUUGUGCAUACCCGAUAGGUUCGUAGGUAACGCAAGUUGAUACGCUACAGGGCCUACACGCUCCAAUACCUCAUACGGCCCAAUGUAUCGGGGGCUCAACUUGCCCUGGAUGCCAAAUUUUCUAAUCCCUUUGGUCGGCGAGACUUUCAAGAAAACAUGAUCACCAAUCUGAAACUCCAAGUCCCGUCGACGCUUGUCAGCAUAACUCUUUUGCCUACUCUGUGCUGUCAGCAAACGCUCCCGAGCAAUGCGAACCUUGUUCUCUACUUCCUGAAGCACAUCGGGGCCUAAAGCCAAUCUCUCGCCGACUUCACUCCAAUGAAGUAGCGAUUUACACUUCCGUCCAUAGAGUGCCUCGAAAGGUGCCAUCUUGAUGCUUGCUUGAUAACUGUUGUUAUAAGCAAACUCCGCCACCAGUAGAUGCUGCGACUAUCCUCCCAGGAAGUCUAUCACAUAGGCUCGAAGCAUAUCCUCAAGAGUCUAUAUAAUGCGCUCUGAUUGCCCGUCAUUCUGGAGGUGGAAAGCUGUACUGAAGUCUAAGCGCGUACCUAAAGCAUCCUGUAAGCUCCUUCAAAAGUGAGAUACAAAUCGGGGAUCUCGAUCUGAUACUAUAGAAGUAGGUACCCUGUGCAAUUGCACAAUCUCAUCCAAGUAUACAUGUGCGAGUCUCUCACCAGUCCAAGUGGUGUGGAUAGGUAUGAAAUGUGCCGAUUUCGUCAACCUAUCCACGAUCAGCCAAAUAGCAUCAUGCCCGGCCUGUGAGCGGGGCAAUCCUAUCACGAAGUCCAUAGUGAUCUUCUCCCACUUCCAUAUUGGAAUCGGUAAGCUCUGCAACUUUCCCGCAGGAACUCGGUGCUCACCUUUAACCUGUUGGCAAGUUAGACAUCUACCAACAAACUCACCAACGUCUUUCUUCAUCCCGGGCCACCAAUAGAGCAACUUCAAGUCCUUGUACAUCUUGGUGCCUCCAGAUGUAUAGCAUACAGUGCUCAGUGUGCCUCUUGAAGAAUUUCUUCUCUAAGUGCCGAUUCCGCCGGUAUACAAACCCGCCUGCAGAAACGCAUCAACUCAACACCGUCCACAGAAAAGUCACCGAUGCAACCACCAACCAUCUUAGCUCGAAUCCUUUGCAACUCCACGUCAUGAACUUGCUUUUCCUUAAUCCUUUCCAAAAGUGUAGAUUGCACCGCCAAAGUCAUCAACCUCAAAGGUGUAUCAAGAGUCACCACCUCUAACUCCAACCGCUUCAUCUGCUCGAUCAACUGCGGUUGAGUAACAACAAGCAUAGCUAAGUUUUUCGUCGAUUUCCUACUUAGCGCAUUCGCUACCACGUUAGCCUUGCCCGAGUGGUAAAGUAUUGUCAAAUCAUAAUUCUUGAGUAGCUCAAAUCAUCUGCGCUGCCUCAAGUUCAACUCCUUCUGAGUGAAUAAAUACUUUAAGCUUUUGUGAUCCGUAUAGACCUCACACCGCUCGCCAUAAAGAUAAUGGCACCAUAGUUUCAAAGUGAAGACUAGGGCCGCCAACACCAAAUCAUGCGUAGGGUAAUUCCUUUCAUAAUCCUUCAGUUGGCGAGAAGCAUACGAGAUCACUUUCCCGUCCUGCAUCAGAACACAACCCAAUCCAUUAAAAGAAGCAUCACUAUAAACCACAUACUCUGCUCCAGCAACUGGUAGGGUCAGGAUUGGGGCGGUUGUCAAUCUCUGCUUCAACUCUUGGAAGCUCCUUUUACACGCAUCAUUUCAAACAAACUUGGUGCCUUUAUGCGUGAGCCUCGUAAGGGGAGUGGGUAAUCUCGCAAAUCCCUCAACAAACCGCCGGUAGUAGCCGGCCAAGCCAAGAAAACUUUGAAUCUUGGUGACACUCGUUGGCCUCGGCCAAUCCUUGAUUGCUUCAAUCUUCGUAGGAUCCACAACUAUACCUGAUCCUGAAAUCAAAUGGCUGAAAAACGCCACCUCUCUAAGCCAAAACUCACACUUUUUCAAUUUGGUAUAGGGUUCUCUUUCCCGAAGCACUUGAAGUACAAGUCUCAAGUGUUUCUCGUGAUUCACAUCACUUCGGAAAUAGACCAAAAUAAUGUCGAUGAAUACUACGACGAACCUGUCUAGAUAAGGCUUGAAAACACGGUUCAUUAGAUCCAUAAAAGCUGCUGGGGCAUUAGUAAGCCCAAAUGGCAUAACUGUAAACUCAUAAUGUCCAUAUCGUGUUCUAAAAGCCGUUUUCGACACAUCCUCAGGUUUGAUCUUCAAAUGGUGGUAUUCCGACUGCAAGUCGAUCUUGGAGUACACACUAGAUCCCUGAAGCUGAUCAAAAAGAUCAUCGAUCCUCGGCAACGGAUACUUGUUCUUGAUCGUGACUUUAUUGAGUUCACGAUAAUCCACGCACAAGCGAAGUGAUCCAUCCUUCUUCUUGACAAAUAGGACCGGUGCUCUCCAAGGUAAGACACUCGGUCGCACAAAAUCCUUGUCCAGAAGAUCUUGCAGCUGUGCCUUAAGCUCCUUCAGUUCCGCUGGUGCCAACCUAUAGAGCGCCUUAGAGAUUGGAGUAGUCCCGGGAAUGAGAUCUACCACAAACUCAAUCUCCCUAUCAGGUGGCAUGCCUGGAAGCUCUGCUGGAAAUACAUCUCCAAACUCCCGUACUACGGGAAUAUCUUCAAUCCUAGGGGUGUCUACAUCGCCCUGCAACACAAUAGUAGCCAAAUAGGCUACGCAGCCUCUGCUGAUCAACUGUCUAGCUCGAGAGGAGCUAAUCGUCAUCGCAAACAGCGAAUUCUGGCAUCCUCGGUACACAACCUCCGCCUGCCCCGGCUCUCUAAACGACACAGUUCGAUUAUUGCAAUCGAUAGUGGCGUAGUACUUGGUCAACCAGUCCAUACCCAAAAUAACAUCAAACUCUCCGAGUUUAUGCAAAGCUAGCAAGUCUACGGGCAUGAUCCAAUCUCCAACCCGAACAUGGCAACUGGGACAAAUCUCUCUAAUGUCCAAGGAGUGGUCGGGAACAACAACACGUCCCAGAUGCAACAAGAAAAUAAGUGGGAUGCAAUGAACUCGGCAAAUAGCCGGUCUAUGAAUGAAUGUGAUACACCGGUAUCAAAUAAUGCUUGUACUCGAAUACCAUAAAGUAAAAUGAUACCUGCAACGACAUUCUCGGUCGCUGCCACUUCCUCCGUCUGGGCCGCAUACAUGCGCCCGCUCGGGGCCUGUCGUUACCCCUCUGUCUGCCGCGGAACAGGUGGCCGCCCGGCCUGGUGGUGAGCAGAAAGUGUCCCCUGACUAGGACCUGGUGAUGCUGGUGCAGAUGCCGAAAAUGGCGCUGGCGUGAACUCCUCGGGCAGUCCGACUGGAAGUGGCCCUUCUGACCACACAAAAAGUACCUGCCCCGACUGUGUGAACACUGCCAUAGGUAAUGAGGACCACCGCAGAUCACGCAGCGCGGAGCUUAGCGACGAUCAGGUCCUCCUCGCUGAGUAGAUGAGCCACGUCCCCGUGAUUGGCUCCGGUUCCUGGGGUGCCUCGGCGGCCUCUGUGAGUGCGUCUGGCUCGCACCCUCAACCGCAGGCUUCUUGCCCUUCCCCUUCUCCAAGCCCUCGCGACGCUCCUGAAGGUCUGCCGCUUUAGCCUCCACAAUGAGUGCACGGUUCAAAACCUCCCGGUAGGUUUGGAGGUUGGAGGACUGCACUAACCGAAAGAUCGAAGGCCACAAUCUACGCUAAAAAAUGCGGGCCUUGUCAUCGUCAUCCCGUACCACAAAAGGUACACAGUGAAGUAGCCGAGAAAACUCCCUCUCGUACUCGGCCACUGUCUGCUCCUCCUGGCCUAAGCUGCGCAAGUCCUGCUCCAUCUUCCUCUUGACGUUAAUAGGGAAGUAGUGCGCCAGAAGAAACUCCUUGAAUCUCGUCCAAAAAAUCACUGCCAAAUCAGUAUUGGGGUUGUCCAAGAUAUCCAACCACCAACGAUAGGCCUCGCCGCCCAAGUGAUGUGUGGCGAGCCAAACUCUAUCCUUUUCCUCAACAAAGGUAUCUCGAAAAAGCUUCUCCAUGUGCAUCAACCACUUCUCAACAAUCCACUGGUCGACCUUCUCGCCGUCAAAGAUCCUCGGACUGCACCUCCUGAACUCGCUGAGGCGAUCCAUGAGGCGAUCCCGCUCGACUCCCUCGGCCAUCACAGGGAAAGCUGCUCUCGCCGCAGGUAUCUGAACCAGUGGUGUUGCGACCACUUCCUCCCGAGGUGUGGUCUCGGGCACCGCACGCGAAGAACUGGGCGAGGGGGAUUACGCCCUUGGCGCGACGUUCACAACGGGCGCUGGUGGUGUGGGAACCUGAGUCUCCCUAGAAGCUGCCGCCUGCUGUAGCAAGAGAUCCUCCAGGUGCUUCAUCCGCGCCUCCUGCCGUUGCGCCACCUCGGCCUGUCGCUGAGCGGCCGCCGCCUGCUGCGCUACAAGAUCAGUGAGGACUGCAAGCUGAGACCUCAAGUCGCGGACCUCGCUAGAUCAGGAAGUAGCGGAGGUCUCAACCUCCUCGAGGUGUGCCACAUCAUCCACACCGGCAGAUUGGGAGUGUGUAAUCGGCAUCGUCACUACAACAUCAUAAAAGUGUAAGUUAGUAAACCCACGCUGUCGAAUCCCCGCUCAAAUAAACAAUACCCAAAUUAUGUGAAAGUAAGGAAGUGUUAUCCACAACUAACUCCCGAUGUUACGUUGUCGGCCACCAACGUAACCCUCCGCGAAGUUAGAAACCCAAUCAUAAUACUUUCGCUUACAAAUCGAAUAGACCUCGUCUCUCACGAGCCCAUUUCUUAUAGUCCAACCAGCCUAAGGUUUGCUAAGUCCACUAAGACUCAACCCUAGGCUUUGAUACCAAACUAAUCUGUCACGCCCCAGGACCGGCGGAGGCCCUCCCGGUAGCGCGCUCAGACCCGCAAUAUGUCAGCACAUAUAAGGCGUCUACAACAAUAGCGAAAAAUAAAACUAAAGAUGAUCUACAACUAGAGAUAUCAGAGCAAGUAUACAUCUAUCAUCUAUAACAAAAGUAAAUAAAGCGUAACUAAACAAUAAAGGUAAAACAUAGAGUUAUACAAUAACCAUCUCCAAAAGGGUACACAAAAAAGGGUGGUUUCUAUACAUGGAUACAACUCUCAACCUCUCCAAAAAGAAAAUAACGAGAAGUAGACCACCUAACAACGUGUCCCUCGAUAGCAAGCUAGCGCGAGGUGAUACCCUUUCCGCGGUACCUAGCCUUUCCCGGCGUGGAAGACUCUGAAAUAAGACAUAAAACAGAAGGCGUGAGAACUAUAAUUUAUAGUUCCCAGUGGGCAAUUACUGACUUCAGCUCAUUGCACCACUAGGCCCCAAAAGAAAAGGGUAAGUACGGAAACGACGAUAAUAAUAAUAAUAAACUGUAAGUGUAAGAGCAAGUAAUGUUUGCUAAAUUUACUAUGCCAUAAACCAUAAGAUGUCAAUGUAUUGUGCAUGUAUUCUAUCAGGCUGUAGUGUAUCCAAUGCAUGACUACUAUGUCCCAACGUGGCAAGCAAGUAGAUAACAUGAUCCAUUCUAUCAAUAUAUGAUGAUUAUGCUCUAUCAUGGCAACCAAGUAUACUAUGAUGCAAUAGGUAAAUUAUCAAGUAUACUACAUGUCUCAAUACUAUGCUUUAAGCAUGUCAAAGUAAUCCAACUACUUAUCCUAUCUAGUAGUGAUUGUCAUUACCCAAUUCAAUGUCAUCGUUUAAUCAUGUUCUAGGACCUACAUAAAUGUAGUCCAGCUUAUGCCACCUAAAUGUCGGUGGUAGCUCCAUCAUUCCCACUUUAGGAAUGAGUCUAUCCCUCUCGACCCCGUAGGUUUCUCGAUACCGCACGUGCGAGCAUAAGUCGCAUAAACCAACUCCGGAGUGCCGGCUUGUAGGGAGCGACCCUCACAAGCAUGUGCAAAUGAGCACAAAUGGCAAGCAAGCGUAGUCAACAUCUCAAAAAUUCAAUCAUCAUGUCUCUAACAUGGUAAAAGUCACUAGCAUCUCAAAGAUCUAGUUCAAUGUCUCAAUGUGAAGGUUUAACCGUUCAAUAAAUUCCAUGUCAUUGACCUUAGCUUCACUAUGUCCAUAUGUAUUCCAAGCCUAAUGCCUCUUUAUAACAUUAGCUUACGAUAUUAUAUAUCAUGUACAUCUAUGCAAAUUUAUGGCAUUAUAUCACACUAUGUCCAAAUCUUGUUCCAACACUAAUGCCGCUUUAUGACACUAGGUUUCACUUGUCCCAAGCACAUUACAAGCUCAAUGCCCCUUUAUAACAUUGGCUCAGUAGUUUGCAAACAACACAAGUCCCAAGUCUCUUUAUGGCUUACUCAAAUCUCUUAAGUCUCAUCUAGGUAUAGAUUCGAAUGCAUAAUACAAUUCUCAUUUUCACUAUCGAAAAUCAAGGUUCCAAGUCCAAAUAGAAUGCCCAACACAUGCAUGAGUCAUUUAUGCAAGUUCUCUACUACAUAGAGAUCCGAAAAUUCAUUGUACAUAACAUAGGUAUGUUAACCAUUCUAAAAUUCACAAAUAAUGCAUUUAUCAUGAAUAUGCAAGAAAUUUCACUUUACGAAACAUAAAUCACCAAAUAUGAGAAUUUCUCAUAUUAUAGGCUAGGUCAAACCCACCGAAACUUGCGCAACCAUUCGUUUGUCCCAACGAGGGUGUCCACUAGCCUCCUAGCACUCUAAAGAUGUAGGAACAAGGGUUAAACGAAUCUUACGAUCAACCCUAAACUCAAACAUUAACCUACUCAAGCUAAGGUGGAGAAAACUCACCUCUAGAGUAAAAUCUCUUUUCAAGCUUCAAAGGAGAGCUAGAACCCUUCCAUCCAACCUAAAGAAAGGUUCUAAACUAAGUGAUUAAGCUCCAAAAGCCCUAAAUCAAAAAUGCCCAAAAUCAACCCUAAAAUCUCAUUCUAGGGUUUCAUCUCAACGAAACCAUCAAAUCUUGAAAUCUUGGGGAGAAAACAAGUUGCUUACCUCUUAGAAGCUUCAAUCCAAGCUCAAAACCCUCUAGGUCCAAAGAUCUUCCUUCAACUAAGCUUUAAAACCAAGCCUCAAGCUUCAACCAUGGUGGAAAUGCACCAAGAGGGAAAAAGAAAGAGAUUAAUCCACGAAAAUCCAAGAGAAAGGGAUAAAAUCACCAUUGAGGGACAAGGAGAAGCUCCCUUACGUCAAUUCCCUGUGUUCCCAGCUCAGGAAAAUGCCCUAGGGGCGUGGGGACACAUAUAGAGAAGCCACUUUGCAAAAACACCCCUGCAGUUCGACUAUUCAGAUUCUGCCGCAGUGUACCGGUACACCGGCCCGCGUACCGGUACAGCCGUCAACCCUGUACCGGUACAACCAUCAAACUUCGAGGGUCACUAAUGGUAGCCGUUCUAUAUCCCAACGCGUUUCCCUAGGAGGAUCUUUGACAAGGUCAAAGAGAAGGGAAUGCGGCUCCCAACAAUUUUUGACACACCCGGUGAGACAUCUGCUUAGGUGAAUUUAUAUUUUUGUUGAAUACACAGUGACUGGUCGGCUGAAAGAGCCGAAUGUCUUUAUAUAUUAAAAUAAAGUUGGAAACUCAUACAAAACAAAGUAUGCCCGAAGGGCAUACAGACUCUGAAAAUCUAAAUUACAACAGAGUGUGCCCGUGGGGCAUACAGACUCCGGAGAUCUAACUUAAAAACUACUCCUAGGAAAGCAAUAAAUGCGGGUAAAAAAGAUUACAUGUAGAUUACUCCUAAAAAAUAAUAAAUGCAGAAAAGAAAAGUAUUAAAAAUACGAUGGUCUUCUCGUUCAGGGGAGAGAAAAGCCUCUAUUACAGGCUUCAAAGUUACUAUUUAUAAUAUCUUAUCAGCCCACAUUAUUGGUUGGUUAUAGUAGUGGGGAAAGAGGUGUAGCCAUGAUCAUGGAAGUUACGCCCCACUUCUCAACUAUUUCCGCCUAAACACUCUUGACCUGGAGGCGUCUUAUUGUCCACUCCUGGUGUACCAUGUGUCCUUAUUUCUUUGGCUCAUACGUGGGUUAGGUUGGCGUCUUAAUUUUUUGGUAUCAACAACAGUUUUGGAAGAGCCUCUGUCAGGCUCUUAGCAAUUAGCAUAACUUAAAAUCAACAUUCCAUCGCUAGUGUAAUGACCAAACGGAGUGUAUAAAUCAAACUCUCGAGGAUAUACUCCGAGCUUAUGCGCUAGACUAUGGUGAUUUUUGUCACAAGUACCUCCUACUCAUGGAGUUUAUCUAUAAUAACAGCUACCAAUUGAGAAUCAGAAUAGUACCCUACAAGGCUUUAUAUGGGAGGAAAUGCUAAUCAUCGAUUUGCUGGGGUGACGUAGGCAAGAGGAAGCUUCUUGGGCCAUAUGUAGUUGUGUACACCGAGGAAAAUACCUAGGUUUCUAGGUAGUGGCUUUUGACUGCUUAGAGCUAGCAAAGAGUUAUGCAGAUCAGUAGCGAUACGAUUUGGAAUUCUAGGUUGGGGAUCAUGUGCUUUUUAAAGUUUCGGUAACAAACUUCUUUUUUGGGGGCGAAAGAUACAAUAGCCUAUAUCUUUGAACUCCAUUCUUGUGGAGUUUCAACGAAAGUGUUUGAGGGCUUCAAGUUUUGUAGACAUCUGUUGAGGUUCCAGAACCUUAGAGUGUUUUCGAGAAUAAAGACACAUUCUAGAACCCAGGCAUUAGGCUGAGAAGGCUAAGAGCUUGUCAUGCCUUAGGGCCUAUUUUGUAAAGUCUUUUCCAAAAAAGGACCAAUUUAAAAAUAGAGUUAGCCAAAAAAUGCUAAUUUUUUUAUAAACAACCUUGUCCACGAGAUGGAUAGACCUACCAUAAAUACAGGGAUUUCUCUAUCUAUACGGACAGAAUUUGCACGACAUACCACAUGUUAUAAUACCUUUACAACCAACCAGUUUCAUUCAUAUACUAACAAGCAGCAAUCAGAAUGUAGAUACUCAUACAGCUAACCAUACCUAGCAAGAUGAUGCAUAUCCUAAACACUCCUUAUGCAAUUAUGAUGCAAAUGCAGCAAUACUGUGACACCCUAACUUCCCAGGGGGUCACCCAUCCUAGAACUACUCCUGUCCUAGCAUGCUUAAUUCUCUUAACCUCUUAGGUCUAACCAGCACCCAAAAUACUUUAAGCCGGGUUGAGAGUUUUAGUCUUAUUAUAUCUUAUAUAUAAGACUAUUUGGGGUCUCACAUUCUCGCCCCCUUAAGCCCUGACGUCCUCAUCAAGCUCAGACUCACAAGUACUAGGCGAUGUGAGACUCAUCUCCCUAGCCUAAACUGACCUUAUGGUAAGCUACUCUCCACCCACAACAGUCAACAAUAUGAGAGCCUCGCUCUCCCUACUGUAUAAUCCUGGCUCAGCCUAGACUCAUCUCACACUUUUAGCUAGUAAUUAUCUCUGAUACCAACUGUGAUACCCCAACUUCCCAAGGGGUCACCCAUCCUAGGACUACUCCCGUUCUAGCACGCUUAACUCUCUUAACCUCUUGAGUAUAGCCACCACUCAAAAUACUUAAGCCGGGUUAAGAGUUUGUCCUAUUAUAUCUUAUAUAUAGAACUAUUUGGGGUCUCACAAAUACAACAAACAUCAUAUCAUUUGAAAGUAUUUUCCUUCAGAGAAUUUUAUUUUCAAAACUAAGAUAAAUUAUAAAAUCGAAAAAUUGUUCCUACACGAAAACUCAUCUUUUGAAAACUUGGUACCACGAGGGGUAAAAAAUAUUUUAACCAUAAAACCACAACUACACAAUAGUCGUAAAACUACAGUUUCAUUAUCCUUAAUCAAGCAAAUAAGGAUAAUAAAGCAUUCACUUAACUAAAACACAAAGUCUAAUUUAUUUAACAAUGAUCAUAAGAGUAAGGAAUGAAAUGACCGUAAUCAAUGGCUAGGUAAGCAUGGAACCAGUAGAACUCACUAACUACUCUAAACCUAACGCACCAUCCCGAUCCUUAUCGCUUGUGUCACCUAUAAAAACAGGGGGUAAGAAACCAACCUAAAGUGUGAUGUGUCCUCAUGCAAAACUGUGUAAUGUUAUUUUUCUCAGGUGAAUUCAAUAUAUUGGUUUUUUUCACGCUUUGGACGAAUAGAAAAAACUCUGUCCGUUCGGCAGGUCUGUGCACGCACCCGCAUAGCCUCCGUUGUGCAAUGGGACGGGGCAUGACAUUAAGGUUUUUUAGUGGGUACCGUAAGUCGACAAGGGAAAAUGUACUCAUUGGCAAGCAAAAGAUAGUUAUAGCGAGGUAUGAAACGAUAACAAAUACAGUAGCAAAUAGGAACAAAAAAGAAAUAACAAUAUGUAGAUAUUUAGCUGCUACUAUAAUCUACAGAUGAUGCAUCAAUCGGACAAAUAGUUCAAAAGCAUCCAAUCUGUUUGCCAUGUUGGUCUAAAAACCUCGAGCAAUGCUUUGUUCUAUACCUGGCUCAUGACUUUAACAAUAGAUCGCAUAGGGUUUAUGGGUCGGGAGUAGGGAUGCAAACGGGGCGGAUCUAGGGGCGGGAGUCCCGCCCCGCCUCCCGCCCCGAAUCCGUAAUGGGUUAAAAAAUACAUCUCAUAAUCCGCCCCGCCUCGUAACCCGCCUCCUGUCGGCGCCCUGAAUCCGCCCCGCCAACUAAUAUUUUUUAUAAAAUUAUAAUAUUAUUAAUAUUUUUUAAAUUAUAAAUUAAUAAUUUUUAAUAAUAUUACAUAUAUAAUUUAACAAUAUUAAUUAUAAAAAUCAAAAAUAUCAAUCAUAAUUCAAAACAAAAAUUAAAAGUUUCAAAUACAUUAGAAAUGAGAGUACUAACUUAUUUGUAUUUUGAACUUUUUUUGUAAAUACAUUAUUUUUUAAGAAUAUUUUUUAAAACAUAAAUGAUUUUCGGGGCGAAUUCGGGACGGAUUAUGGCGGGGCGGAUUCGGGGCGGAUUCGGAGCGGGUCAAAAUUUCUCCCAUUUCCUGCCCCGAAUCCGUUUAUUUUCUCCUAUUUACUGCCCCCGUCGGGGCUGAUUAGGGCGAGAGCUCCACCAACCCGGAUCCGUUUGCAUCCCUAGUCGGGAGUACGACCACUUUUCUGAAAAAAAGCACCAAUGCGGUGGCAAAACUGCUGGUGUAUGUGAAAUGCACACGAGUUAUUGUUGCGAUCGAUUCAGUAUGACUAAUAGCCAACCGUUAGCAAGCUGACACGAGAUCCCCGAAAGGAAAAGUACCGACCAAUCAGGUCACCUAAUCUCAUAUAUAUACAUUACCAACUAGUAGGUCAAACAUAUCAAAAUUGAUAAUAAUAUCCAAUGUCAUACUGCUCUACAACUAAGUUAUGAUGAACAUGUGUAAUAAUAAAGUAGAGCAAUAAAAGAUGAAGUCAUGUAGUGAUCAAGUGUUCAAUAUGCAAUGUAUGUAAAGAGAGGGGAAUGGAUGUCACUGAGCUGUCAUUACCAGACGAAGCACCUAACUCCUAAGGUGCUCUAGAUAGUCAACCAGAUCUACGAAAGAUUCACUGAGUCAUGAACUACUCAACUAAGAAGGAUUAAACCUUGAAUGACCCAAAGUCAAUAAUCACAUAAUCCCGAAACCUUCGCAAUAUUGGUUUCUUUUACCGAUACCCGAAACCCACUAGGAUUUCUCGAAAACUCACCGAAACGCUUUAAAAACCCACCAAAAGCUCAAAAAAGUACCAAUUAACACCGUAAGUCACCAAUCGCUCGGAGACGCACUGAUUUGGGUGCCCAGGCAACAAAUACUUGAAUUAAUGUUAAAAAAUAUAUUUGACGAUAAGUAUGUCAUACCGAAUUCAUGGAAAUGCCGAAUUUGGCUCCGAAACCCUCCACUGCACACCCACUGCCUCCAGACACAUGAGACAGCGAAAGCAACCAGUCAACAGGGCUCGGUGACAAAUAUGGGGCAUUCAUGGUAAUAAAACGUUAAACCCAAAUAAAGAACGAAUUCGAUCGGUGAUUUGCCAGUAAACACAUCAAAACCCUAAAUUAUACUUCGCGAGGGCCAUCGGACCUACUAGGACCAUCAACUUAAAGGUCAAAAACUGUGGGUUCACACUGCUCGAGUCAGCCCACAAGGCCAAAAUUACAUAUAAGUCCCUAAAUUUGCAACUAUGUUCAUUAUAUAUAAAAAUAUUUUUAGGGUUUUGACUUGUUACCGAAUUUUGCAAGCUUUGAAACCUGAAUUUUGCAAGCUUUGAAACCCAAUCAUCGGUUUCGAUCAUCCUAUUCUAUGACCGAUAUUGUGGUAAAACUCACCGUCCUCGCGAUCGUGUAAACCACAAUUACCUUGUGAAGAAUUCGCCACUGCUAUAACUCUAACGAUUGUUUGGAAAAGAUUAAACUAGAAAAAUGAUAAAUAUAAUGGAUUUGAAUUUGGAUACAAGGUUGACAAUGAAAAGUACUUACAUAUAGGUCACAUCUAACCAAUUAAAUUUUAAAAAUAAAAUUUUUAAAUAGAGUUUUAAAAUAUAGUGCAGUCUAUAUGUGGUAUAUAUUAUAAUUUUAUCAUGUUGUUGGACUAGAUAAUAAGUGAAAUUAAAAGAUAUUGUUGAAAAAAGAAACUAAAUAUAAAAAUUUAUUGGAUGUUUUAAAGACCUUUCACAAGACUCGUAGAGAAGUGUUGCCAACUCCCUAGCAUGAUUAAUAAGGCCAUAUGAGUAGAAUAAAAGUUUCAUAAUAAAAUAAAAAAUAAAUCUAAUAUGUUAUCCAAAAUUUCAAAAGAUUUAAUUAUUUCUGAUUAACCAAAAUGAUCCUAUUGAUUAUAAAAAAUCCUUUCACCCCUAACAAUUUACUAACGGGAUUGAUUUUUAGAAGGACAUGUUGGGUAUUAAGAGAUAAAUUUAAAAUUUUUAAAUAGCAGUACGAGGUAUAGGUAAAUAAAAGAGUGGUUUCCUCCUAUCAUCAUUGAAACGAAUUCUUUUUUUGCAUUUAGCCCUUUAAAUAUUUUUAAUUUUACAACUAACUUUUGUAAAAUUAUAGUUACAGAAAUGAACCUUUCAUUGUUCACACAGGCAUCACACUAGACAAGGUGGGCCAAAUAUGAUAUUAAGUUGAACACAGCAAUUUAGUUUUCGUAUUCAGAACAUGGUAACCCAAUUAGCGUGUUCUUUAUGUUAAGGCAAGAUAAGCUCUUUUAAUUUUUUUUUAAAAAAAAGUUUAAGUAAAAAAGAAUAUAUCAAUUGAAUUAUCGUAUUCUAGAACAUGAUAAUUCAAUUAUCUUGUUCAACUUUUAUCCCACGUGGCAAUCGCGUGGACAAAAAGAGGAUCAAUCCUAUAUUUCAGUUUUACAGGGUUCUAUUUGUAAUUUUUUUUUAAGGGACUAAAUGCAAAAAAGUACAAUAAGAAAAGAAUAUAAAAAAAACAAGCAACAAACAAUGAUGUGAGCAACACGAGUAGUUCCAAACUUUAUUUAUCUCAAAGAAAUUUUUUUAAAUAAUAAAAUAUAAUAAUCUAGAAUAAAAAGGCAAAAAUUGAGAGAGGCAUGGGUUAUGAUGGAAGAUCAUUAUCGCGCCUUAAUAAUUGGCAACCAUCUAUGCUUACCAAAUAUUUAACAUAUUAUAGAGAAAAGAUAAAAUGGACUAUAAAUAUUUGGCUAAAUUACACUUUCGAUUCUCAAAUUAUAAAGUGUAUGAUAUUUUGAUUUUAAAACUUUAAUUUAAUAAUUAAUUCUAUUUUUUGUCUCAAUUUUUUUUAAAUUGUUACUAUCGACUUUCGCAAUCUAAUUUAUUUGACUAAAUAUCAAUAUAUUAUUAACAUAAAAGUGAUGUAAUAGUAAUGUGAUUCACACGCGAUAAUGAUUAAGAUACCGCAUCACUUCUAUAUCUGUGACAUGUCAGAAUUCGAUCACUAGAUUACAUUGUGGAACUUAAUUACAAAAAUUUAAAAAGUUUAAGCACAACAAAUAAAAGUUUUAUAACAAAAGGGCCAGAUGUCUCAUAAUUUUAGAACCCAAAGUAUAAUUUUUUUUUUGAGAAAUAGAUAGCAUGUUAUCAGUUUCGUUUAUUUUAUUUAGAAAUAAACUUCGCUGGAAAUGUAAAUCAACUAGGAUAGUUGAUUCGAACUUGGGUCUCGGAUGUCAAUUACUAAGCCCUUUGCCACUUGCUCUAGAAACCGAAAACAUAAUUUAGCCUAAAUAUUUAUAUAUAUUGUAUAAAAAAUAAUAUUUCAACAGAUAUGACUCAGCCCCCACGCCGACGCCGACGUCUCAGGUCUUGAAUGUUUGUUAAGUCUCCCUCCUGCUUAGAUCUAUUGGUGAAAUAAUAAUAAUUAUAAUAAUAAAGGUGCUUUUCUAAAGAAUAUUGUAAUGGCAUCAUUAUAAAGCUAAAGAACAUCUCAAUUAUUAUAUACUACUACAAAGGUAUUAAACAAUUAUAAAGGUUUAAAUGAUAGCUUAAUGUAAAGUUAAUGAAAUAAGGAUCUGUUUAGGGGGGUUGUUGGUUGUGGCCCACGUGAUUUAUUCAAGGCGAUAUGUAAAAUUACAGUCGGUUUAUUCAAAUCGAUUUAUAAAUAUACGAUAGAUCUAACGGUUAGGAUAUAUCUAGACACGUUCUUGAUGGACGGACGUGAUUUAAUUUUCUUACAUCAAGUUAUGUAUAAAUAUGUAAUAUGCGGGAGUCCAGAUCUAAUCCUAAUCUAAUUUUCUGUGACGGCUCUAUCUUCGAGGAUAAGAGAAUUAGACUCCAAACGUUUCGCUCUCUUACAAAUCGCAAACGAGGACAAACAACAAGUAAAGAUCGUUGUCUACAAUCCGGCUAUUGAAAUUGAAAUAAUGACAGAAAGUACGAUUUUAAUUUCUAAUAAAGUUUCAACAUGUGAUACUAGAGUCUUAUCUUUUGUCGAAUUUUCGUUUCUUUCUAAAUUUCAUUUGAUUUUUUUUUAAAUAAAUAAAUUUAUUUACUGGUUUGUGUUUACAGUGACGUCAAUCAGCCUCAAUCGAGAUCGGCGUUCGAAAAACGUGGCCUCCUGCUGUCCUCAGCGGGACCCGCAAGGGUCACAUGUACGGCCCAUUAAGGGCUUGUGUGGCCUCCUGUUGUGGUAGGCGGGGCCCAUGAGGGUCACAUGUACAACCCUAUUAGGGGCCAUACGAGCCUGCCAGGAGCAUCCCUAUGAUGCGGUCCACACGGAAAAAAAAAAGUUUAUUUAUUUAUUUUUUUUAAUAAUAUAUAUAUAGAAAGAGAGUUGAGCUAGAAUACUCUUAAAAGCACCAAAAUAUUGGUGCUUUUGAGUUUUUACUGUUUGGAUAGAGAAAUAUAAGGUUGGGAUGAUGGUGGUAGGUAUGUGAAAUAGUGUUCGAUUUAAGGGCUAUUAGUAAUCAAGGAGUAGAUCCAAGUGCUAAAAACCUAGAAGUACCAAGGGGUAAUACUUCUAAAAGUAUUCUAGCUCAUAUAUAUAUAUAUAUAUAUAUAUAUAUAUAUAGGUUGGUAUACUAUCGGUAGCAUAUAGCCCUCCAUGCUACCAAGUUGUUUUCAAUGAUGCGGCUUUCAAAUCGACGAUUGGCUCCAUUAGACUUGAUCUACACUAUUGAAAGUAUUUAAAAACUAAAUUUCAUAAUUUUUCGACAUCAUUUGGCUAGUGAUCAAAAGGUCUCAAACUUGACUAUUUUAAUGGUAGAUUUGAUGCGUUUGUGAAUUUAACGGUGUAAAACAAUCCAAAUUUGAUGAAAUUUUUAUAGAAAUUUUUUUUUUUUACUAUUUAGAGUAAGAUCAGUAUCUCUGAUCUUAACUUCAAGUCUUUUAUCAUCAUUUUUUAUGAGAUUUUUAUUUUCAACCGUUCAUUUUUAGACCACUCGUUUGAUAGGUAAAUGAUUCCGAAAAAUUAUGAAAUUUAGUUUCCAAGUACUUUCAAUAGUGUAGAUCAAGUCUAAUGGAACCGAUCGUCGAUUUGGAAGCCGCAUCAUUGAAAACAACUUAGUAGCGUGCUACCGAUAGUAUACCUCUAUAUAUAUAUAUAUAUAUAUAGAGCAGGGCUACUGUGCUCUCAGGAGCACAGAGGCCUCCGUGCUCCUGAGCCGUUUUCGAUGAUGAAAUUUUCGAAUCGACGAUCGGCUCCGUUAGACUUGAUCUAGCGCAUUUGAAGUUUCUAGAAAAUAAUUUUUGCGAUUUUUCGUUAUCAUUUACCUAGUGAUCGAAAGGAUUCAAAAUCGAUAAUUUUUAAUGGUUGAUAUCUGCAGUUUUCAAGUUUAACGGUGUAGAAGUAUUCAAAUCAGAUGAAAUUUUGAUAGAAAAUUUUUUAUAUUAGCUACAACAAGAUCUAUAUUUCUAAUCGAAAAUUUUAGUACUAUAUCACCACUUUUUAUAGGAUUUUUAUUUUCAGCCAUUAAAAAUUAUUGAUUUUGAAUCCUUUCGAUUGCUAGGUAAAUCAUAUCGAAAAAUCGCAAAAAUUAUUUUCUAGAAACUUUAAAUACGCUAGAUCAAGUUUAAACGGAUUGAUCGUCGAUUCGAAAACUCCAUCACGAAAACGGCUCAGGACACGGAGGCUCGUGCUCCUGAGAGCCACAGCAGCCCUACUCUUUCCUCUCUCUCUCUCUCUCUCUCUCUCUCUCUCUCUCUCUCUCUCUCUAUAUAUAUAUAUAUAUAUAUAUAUAUAUAUAUAUAUAUAUAUAUAUAUAUAGUUUUGGUCCAUAAUUUUCUUUACAGCGUGACCUAUUUUUGAAGAAGUCUAUAUUAAAAUCAUAUAUAACAUUUGGUAUUAUAUGAUUUUUAUUCUACUUGUUUGCUAAUUUAUUUAUGAUUAUAAAUUAGUGUGUUUAGAUUAAUAUUUUAUGGUACCAUUUUUUUUUUGUUAUUAUUCUAAAUAUACAUAAGGUUAUCAUAAAAAUUAGAGUAGGGUAUAUAGACUUCAUACAGUGUAUAAAUUUGAGUCACAUAAAUUUAUUAAGAAAAUUUUUUUGGACUUGUAUUCUUUUCCGUUGUGUUUUGGAAUAAUAUGAAAUUUCCGGUCAUUCUAUAUCAUAUGAGGAUUUGUGAGACCAAUUAUAUCUAGGAGUAGCCACAGCAUCCUAAUUAUGGUAUGUGAUCACUUACGGUAUUUUUAUAAGAUGAUAUUGAACUAAUGUUAACCCGAAAAUUCAUACGGAUUUCUAAUUUAAUUUUAAUAGUUAUUCAAUGUCAAAUAAGAUUAUUUAUAUUUUUCAUUAUCUUUAGGAUUAGCCACAGCAUACUAUAAAUAAUGACGAAUCUAUAAAAAUUUACUGAUAUUGAAUUAAAGUUUGACUAUUUAUUGCAGUCAAAUAAAUAAUAAUUUUGAAUUUUGACUGGAAUAGGAAUAGUGGAUUGAAUUUUUAGAUAACGAGUUUUCUUAUGCCCAUAGGUACAUAAACAUUAUUGUUUAGAAAUUAGUUUUCUGCUAGUCUUAUUAUUAAAGUAGAUAAAUUCUAUGCACAUAGCGCCUCUGCCCACAUGAAGAUAGAAUUUAUCUAAUCUAAAGGUUAUUAUCUUAUAGUAGGCGAUAAAAGUUAUAUAUUUUCUUUAUUUUUGCAGCUUCUUUCUCUACUGCAUUUCUCAAUGAUGUUUCUUGUAUCGCUAUGCUUACUCGGGACAACUAUUCCGAUUGUAAAGAAAGUAUUUUUUUUUUUAUUUUGGGUUAUAUAGAUUUAGACUUGGUUCUGCGCGUUCAUCAACCGCCUAAGAUAAUAGGGUCAAUGACUCCACAGUAGGAAUCUGCGCAGAAAAAAUAGGAGCGAUCCAAGCGCUUAAUUUUGAUGUUGAUAAAAUCUAGAGUAUCAAAAUUAUAAGGAGAUCAAUCCCAGAAUGUGAUAAAGCCAGUGAUUACCUAAAGGCCAUUGAGGAGUAGUUUAUCAACUCCGAUAAAGAUUUGGCAAGUACGCUGAUGAAGCGACUUUCAGGUAUUAAGUACAAUUGGGUCAAGAGUGUGUGCGAGGACAUCAUGGAGAUGCGGAAUAUAGCAGCUCAACUAAAGGCUUUAAAAGUUGAGAUCUCUGACACCUUCUUAGUCCAUCUAAUUCUAAACUCGUUACCAUCUGAGUUUGACUUCUUUAAGAAGUCAGUUUAGUUGCCAAUAAAGAAUUAUGGUAAGGAAGAUCAAUGCUAUUUCUGUAAAAAGAAAGGGCACAUGAAAAUGGACUAAUUGAAGUAUAAAGCUUGGCUCGAGAAGAAAGGUAUUAAAACUAUCUAUAUUUGUUAUGAAUCUUACUAGUUAAUGUUUCUAAAAACACAUGGUAGAUUGACUCUGUAAUUAUUGUACAUAUCUCAAAUACCAUGUAGGGUUUUCACAACCUAAAUAUGUUGAAGCCAAAUCACUACAACAAAAUUAGGUUAUAAAGACACAUGUUUGUGGCACUUUUGUGUAAGUGUCUCAUUUAUGCAAAAAUUUUUAAAAAAUUUGUAACACACUGGAACUUUGCAAAUUGCGAGGUUCGAGUGUUCGAUUUGUGUUCCGAAUUUUUUCAGAUAUUCUGGAGGGUCGAUGAUAGUGUUUCGACCUAUGGCUCGCAUCCCGAGAAUCGAUAUUUAAAGUUUAGCGCCAAAGUCUCUAAAGUGAAGAUUGUUGGCUACUCUCGGGUUGCACUCUAUAGAGUGAUGUACCGGUACAACAUUGAAGUUGUACCGGAAUGAGAGGUUGUACCGGUACAAUAUUGGGUUUGUACCGGUACAGAGGGCUAUUUUCUGUCAACCCGAGGCUCGGGUUUGGCUGUCUGGCUGGCUUGGUACCGGUACACUUUCCCGUGUACCGGUACGUAGUGCAGUUCGCAGACUACAGUUUUUGAAGGAGGUUUUUGUUAUUGUAGCAACUCUAUUUAGCCACCCACGCCCCUUUGCUGGUCUCCUGAGCUGGAAAACACAGGAGGACAAGGUGGGAAUGUAACGAACCGAAACUCGGUAGAAAAUAUCGAACUUUAGCAAAAUUGACUAAAGUGUGCGAAAGAAAUAGUUGGGCAAGUUCCAUUUAGCGUUCCAACAAUGUUAGAAGGGUUAAAAGUGAGUUUAAGAAGGGUUAGAAGGGUUUUAGCAUCGACCGACGCGAAAUAGAAUCGAAACAAUGCGAAAAUUGCAGCCUGGGCAAAGUGUACCGAUACAACCAUCACGUUGUACCAGUACAACCAUCGCUGCCCUAGAAGAGUAGCUCUCCUGUUUGAUCUCUGCGUAGAAGUGUACCGGUACACCACUGGUGUCUACCGGUACACUUUGGUAAAACCCGAGGAGGCUGCUCUCGGGUUUGGUCUCUACGCAAAUGUGUACCGGUACAAGAACCCGUGUACCGGUACACUUUAUCUCUAGCAGCAGAGAUGGUCUGCUGCGAAAUAAAGUGAAAUGGAGGAUUUAUUUGCAUUUAUAGCAACACAUAUAACACCCCAAUGCCCUCUAUUCUCUCUUCGCUGCAGAAAACCCACCUCCACCUCAUUUCUCUUUCUCUCUCUAGAAAUCACUUCCAAGAGCUAGGAGAAGAAGGAAGAGAAGGCUUUAGAAGGGAUUUUUGGUGGAUUUGAAGGGUUUGGGCUCUCCUACAAGGUGGAUAUUGGAGAGCUAGUGGGCUAAGGUGAGUUUUAUGCAAGAUUCGGUCUAGUGUUUGGAUUUAUACCCUAAGUUUUUGGGAUUUGAACUUCUUGCAAGGCUAGAAACUACCUUGAGGCCAUGAAACACAUGAAACUCAUGUAUUUCUCAUGAGCUCUCAUGGUGAAUAUCUAGGGUUAGCUUUUGAUGCCCUAGGAAUAGUUGGAAUGGUUUAGAAAUGGUAUUAGAGAGCUCCGUGGAUGGUUCUAAGCUUGAUUUUGCUUAGCUACAAGAUCAAUUCCAAGAAAUUUGACAUAUGUCAUUGUUAGGGCACCAAAUUCGGGGUUUUUGUCUUAGGGUGUUUCUAAGACGAAUUGAUCUUCGUUAUGCCGCAGGUGAAAGAAUAGGGCUUCAAAACUUUCAAGAAAUUCACCGUAGCAUCCUUGCAACCAUCUAAGGUGGGUAGUGCAUACCGAAGACCUCAAAAUUCCCUUUAUGUCUAAAAGUGUCAUUUUGUUGAGCAUAUGUGAAUGUUGAGCAUUUUGCAUAAUAGAGUUAAUCGAGAACUUUUGUUGCACGUUAUGAGUAUAGAUGCAUGUGAAAUGAGAGUAAAGAAUGAGAACUUGUAAACCCUAUGUAUGCAUGAAAAGUGAUAAGAACCUAGGUGAGGUAAAGAACCAAAAUGACAUAAUGACAUACGAAUUGGGUGGCAUUAGUAAAUGUCGAGCAUGCAAAUGAAUACUAGAGUGUGUAGCAUUAGUAAAUGACAAGAAUGCUAGAGUUGAACACUUAGAGAACAAAUGUGGCAUUAGCGAAUGAGUACAAAGAACAAGUUAGUGUAUAUGACACUAGUAUCAGUUACUGAAUGCAAGUAAAGAAUAAUAGUGAUAUUGUGACAUAGAAACCUUAAAGAUAAGGGUCACAUGAGCAUUGGAAUCUUUAAAGCUAAGAAUUGAUCAUACUCGCCUAUAGUCUUGGCUUGAGGGAGGUCGCUCCCCCUCGAGCGGUGUACUCCGAAGUUGUCACCACUGGGAACGGGAAUCCCCAGAGGACGGUCCCAACGGAAGGAAGCUGAGGGCCCGAAAUUGGGAUUUUGAGUUGGUGAGUUAUGGAACCCUACGGGAGGAAGCUGAAUGCCUAACGGGCUGAGGGCCUAACAGGUUAGCCACAAGAUUGUGUAAAGAAAAUGUGAUCUUGUAUUCAUCAUGAGCAUCUCAUUGAGCAUAUGAUUGAGUUUAUUAUUCAGACAUAUUAGUUGCAUUUGUUAGUCGGUUACUAUCUUUCCUUUCUUCUAUUAUACCUGAUUUAGACCUAGUGAAAAAGUCAGCGUGGUUGGUGGCCGAACCCACUGAAAACUUUGUUGUACUUCUCACACCCCAUUAUCUACAGAGCCGGGACCGAGCGAGCCGGCUGACGACCGCAGUAAGGGCAUCGCACCCUAAACAGAGACCGCCCGACAUACUUUUACAUUUUGUAGUUGCACACCCUUUAUUAUCAUCUUUUGUAUUUGAUGAUUAUAGGUAUUUAAAAGAAUGAUGUAAAAGAGUUUAUAUUUAAUGCAAAAGUCAUAUUUUGGAGAAUAUGUGAUGUAGAAAGAAAUGAUGCAAAAAAUGUAAAUAUAUAAGUUGAAUGCAUGUAUGUGAUUAAAAGUUAAUUAUAUUACUUGUAUGACGUUUAGUUUAGUACUUUCACUUUGGCUAUUGCUUGCCCUCGUGCAAGUCAUUGUGUAUGCUUCCGCUUGUACAAAUUUUAUAUACUAUUUGUACUUGUUGAUGAGCCUUGGGCGGGCAGGGGAGGCUCUAUCCGUUCGGCGUCUGUUCGACGGGUCCGAACCGACCAAAUAGGAUCGGGUUCGCGGCGUGACUCCUCUUUUGAUUUCUUUCCCUUUUUGCUUGGUUUUUGGUGGUUUAAUCACCUAUUUUGCUCCUUUUUGGCAUUUUGGUGACAUUUCCACCAUGGGAGAAGGCUUGGAGCUUGGAGACGAGCUUGUUGGAGGAAAGAUCUUCAACCCUAGUUGAUUCCAAGCAUUGUUUGAAGCUUCUAUAGAGGUUAGUUGCUUACUUCUCCUCUCUAGAUCAUGAUUCUCAUGAUUUGUGGUAUAGAAACCCUAGAAUGUGAGAUCUAGGGUUUAUAUUAGGAAUUUUUUAUUAGAAGCUUUUGGAACUCAAUUGAUUGAGUUAGAACCUUUGUUUAUGUUAGAUUUGAAGGGAUCUUGCUCUCAUUUAGAGAUUGAGAGAGGUUUUCUUCAUUAUAGGUGAGUUUUUGCCUUUUCUUCAAGAUGGUUAAUGUUUGAGCUUACGGUUGUUCGUUCGUAGCGUUUAACUCUCCUUAUGUUACCUUUAGGGAGGUAGGAGAGUGGUGGGCACCUUCGUCGGCGCAAACGAAGGGCUACGAGGAGUUUCGGUGGGUUUGACUUCAUAAAAAAUAGCAGAACUCCACUUUUGUCAACUUUUAAUUGUCGUAAAAUUAAAAUGCAUGCAUCUUCAUGCUAGAUAGAGCCUACGAGUUAUUUAGAAUGCUUAAAAUACAUGUGUUAUGUAUGAUGAAAAAUUACCUCUAUAUAGUAGAGAGAGAUAUAUGCAUUGUUAGCAUGCAUGAGAAUGACAUUCUAUUAGAUGAUUUGGGAUCAUAUUUCUUGCAUUGGAAAUGACUAGAAUAACAAGCACUUGGACAUAAAUUCAUGUUUGACUUUGUGGACUACAAUGCCAUAAAGAGGCAUUCGUCCUAGUGAACGGUUAAUCUGCAACAUGAUGACAUAGGAAUGGACCAUGGGGUCACCAGUUUUUAUACCAUAUUUUAGACAUGAUGACAUAGUGAUAGGCCAUUGAGAGACAUUGACUUUAUUCCAUAUUUUAGACAUGAUGACAUUGGACUUCAGACGGACUUUUACGCUUGCUUACCAUUGUGCUUAUUCGCACAUACUUGUGAGGGUCGCUCCCCACAAGCCGGCACUCCGGAGAUAGCCAUCGUGAUAUAAGCUCGCCCGUGCGGGAUUGGGCGCCAAAAUGGGAUGCCGUGGGGGAGGCUCAUUCCUAGAGUUGGGAUGUUGACUACCACUAGGCCAUUAGGCACGGCGCAAGCCGAACUAUCCACGGGUAGGUCCUAUAUGAUUGGAACAAGUUGAACCAUAAUGCUAUAGUGGACUUUAGAGAUCAAGUAGUAAACAAUGACAUUCUACUAAUCAUACUUGUGGACUUCUUGUUGCUUAUACUUAUGUGCAUUCAUAUUAGAAUAGCAUUUACAAUUCUGCAACUUCAUGCUAAACAGAGACAUCGUAUUAUAGCAAGUUAGUCAUGUUAUCAUACAUGUUUACAUUCAAGUUAAUUGCUGAACUUCUUAUAUUUACUCGCAGCCUAGUGGUGCAUUUCACUGAGGUCAGUAAUUGCUCACUGGGAACUAUUGUUUAAUAGUUCUCACGCCCCUGUUUAUUGAUGUAUUUCAGAGCUAUCCGCACCGAUGGAGGCUCGGGAUCCUGGCAAAGGGAUCGCCUGGCUAGCUAGCGAGGAGUAUAUUUACUACUAGGUGGUUUUCUUUCUAUUUUUGUAGCUCGAUAGAGAAUGAGAGUUUUGUAUCCAUGUAUAGAGACCACCCUUUUUACAUGUUUAGCACUUGUAUCUGGAUUCCAUCUUAUACUACUUUAUGGUUUUAUGUUAGAGAAUUAGUUCUUUUAUUUUUCGCAUUAUUCUAGAAUCUAGUUGUUGUAUGCUCUGAUACUCCUAGAUGUUCUGUUGUUACUGUUUUAUUUAUCGCUUUGUUGUAGACGCCUUAUAUGUUGUAGGCAUUUGGCGGGUCUGGACACGUACCGGGCGGGCUUCCGCUAUGUCCCGGGGCGUGACAAAAAUUUUACUAAUGUCUAAAUAUAAAGCCCAAUCCAACUAAAAAUAAAAGGUUACUCUACUCAACCCAUCCCACCCAGACCAUUCAGCCCGAUUACAAACAGAAAAGAAAAAAAAAAAAAAAUCGAUUACUAUCUCCCAUUUUCCCCUCACUCAAUCCACUGAAAUUCUAGAUGAAGAGCCCUUCCCUCUCCUCCUCCUCCGCCACCGCAGCCAACGAAGUAGAGUUCCGGCGGUUGCUAAAUGCUUAAAUAAGUGUUGGUAAAUUAGCAACACUAUUUUUAGGUUAUAGCGACACUCUUUAACUGUCACUAUAUACCUAGCGACCCUACAUAUAGCAAUACUUUUUAAAAGUGUCGGUAAUUUAGCCAGCAUCACUUUUUUUGACAAAUACCGACAUUUAAAAGUGCCGCUAUAGAUCGUUUUUGUUGUAGUGUUAAUAAAAGAAUUUUAAUUAGCAGAGAAGGAAAUAAACCUCAAGUUGAAGUCAUAGACAACUUCAUUUUAGAACUUAGUACUUGUUUUGUAUUUGAACUUGAGCAUACUUUCUGUGUUCCUAAAUUUUCUAGAAAUUUAGUUUCCGUUUCUAAAUUGAGAAAUAAAGGUUUCAAAUUUUUAUUUGAGAAUAAAUCUUUUACUUUGUUCUUCGAUAAUUUUAUUGUUGGCAAUGGUUGUUUGCUAGAUAAUUUGUACAAAUUUAAUUUGAGUCAAUUCUUUGAAAAUAACUUUAAUAUUGAUCAUGACAUUGGUGUGAAAAGGAACAUUCUUAAAAAGAACUGCUCUUAUUUAUGGUACAAGCGUUUAGCUCAUAUCUCUUUAGAGAGAAUAAAGAGAUUGGUAAAAGAAAAUAUUUUACAAGAUCUUGACUUUACCGAUUUUGGUACUUGUGUGGAAUGCAUGAAGUGAAAGAAUACUAACAUAAAUACCACUAAAGUUGUCAAAAAUAGUUCUGAAAUUCUUGAAAUCAUACAUACAAAUAUAUGUGUAUCUUUUUCUACUCCUUAUUUCAAUGGUCAGAAAUAUUUUAUCUCAUUUNUACAAGAUCUUGACUUUACCGAUUUUGGUACUUGUGUGGAAUGCAUGAAGUGAAAGAAUACUAACAUAAAUACCACUAAAGUUGUCAAAAAUAGUUCUGAAAUUCUUGAAAUCAUACAUACAAAUAUAUGUGUAUCUUUUUCUACUCCUUAUUUCAAUGGUCAGAAAUAUUUUAUCUCAUUUAUUGAUGAUCAUUCAAGAUACAUGUAUCUAUCUCUUAUUUGAAAAAGUUGAGGCACUUGAUACUUUCAAAGCUUAUAAGAUUAAGGUAGAGAAAUAAUUAGAUAGCAAAAUCAAUAUUAUAAGGUUAGAUAGAGGGGAUGAGUAUUAUAGAAGACAUACGGAUAAAGAUCAAAUAGCCGGCCCAUUUGCUUAAUUUCUUGAAGAUGAAGGCAUCAUUUCGCAAUAUAUGAUGCCUGGCACGCCCCAACAAAAUAGCGUUGCCGAAAAGAGGAAUAGAACACUGACGGACAUGAUAAGGAGUAUGAUUAGCAAUUCUUGGCUGCCAUCUUCUCUUUGGAGUGAGCACUAAAAACAGUGGUGUAUGUUUUAAAUAGGAUUCUAUUGAAGGCUAUUUCCAAAACUUCCUUUGAGUUAUGGAAAGAGUGGAAACCUAAUUUAAAUCACCUACAUGUAUGGGUUUGUUCAGCUAUGGUGAGGAUUUAUAAUCCACACAGAAAAAAGUUGGACCCUCGAAUAGUCAGUAGAUAUUUCAUUGGCUAUGCGGUAAACUUUAAAGGAUUCAGGUUCUAUUGUCCAAAUCACUCAUCCAAUAUAGUUGAGACCAGGAAUGCAAAAUUUUUUUAGGAUUCUGAAGCAAGUGGAAGUGUUGUUCCUCAAAAGAUAGAUUUUAAGGAAAUUAUAAAAGAUUCAACUGAUUAUCCAUCAGCAGAUAAUUUAGUUGCUCUUGCAGAAGGUCAAUUUGACUAUUAUGGAGGCCAACUAAUCUUGGAGCAUAAGAAUGCUGAACCAGUUGAACCUCCCCAUGAAAAGCUAUCUAAAGAGAAACAGACAAUUAUAGAAUCAGCUGCACAGAAUAAUAAAAAUCUGUAGGAAAAGGUUGGCUUAAGAUGAUCCUCAAGACAAAAGAGACCGACAAUUCAUGAUGAUUAUGUAGUCUAUCUCCAGCAGUCUUACUUUGAUGUCGAACACCAUAAAGAUCUAUAGACAUUUUCAGAGACCAUGCAGGGAGAUAAAUCCUCCCUAUGGUAUGAUGCCAAAAAGGAAGAGAUGAAAUCUAUGGCGGACAACAAAGUUUGGAAUCUCGUUUACCACAAGGAGUCAAAGUCAUUGGCUGUAAAUGGAUCUUCAAGACCACAAGGGACUCCUUAGGUAACAUAAAAUGAUAUAAGAGCAGACUUAUUGCCAAAGAUUUCACUAAGAAAAAAGGCAUUAAUUAUCAUGAAACCUUCUCGCCGGUAUCAAAGAAGGAUUCAUUAAGAGUUAUCAUGGCCUUGGUAGCUUAUUUUGAUUUAGAGCUAUAUCAGAUGGAUGUAAAAACGAUAUUUCUAAAUAGGGAUAUAGAGGAGAUAGUCUAUAUGCAACAGCCCGAAGGUUUUAGCACAGAUAAAAACAAUCACCUUAUUUGCAGACUAAAGAAGUCUAUAUACGGACUUAAACAAGCCUCCUGCUAAUGGUAUAUCAAAUUCCAUAAUAUAAUUACUACAUUCGAUUUCGUAGAAAACAUUGUGGACCAGUACAUAUACCUUAAGGUUAGUGGGAGUAAGUAUAUUUUCUUAGUCCUAUAUGUAGAUGACAUUCUGUUUGCAAAUAGUGAUUUGAGUUUGCUUAAAGAGACCAAAAAUUUUUCUUCUAAGAACUUUGAGAUGAAGAAUAUGAGUGAAGUUUCUUAUGUCAUCGGCAUAAAGAUUCACAGAAAUAGAUCUCAAAGAAUUUUGAGUCUAUCUCAAAAAGCCUACAUCGAAAGAGUUAUAGAAAGAUUUAAUAUGGCAAAUUGUGCACUUACAUUUGCACCUAUUAUAAAAGAAGAUAGAUUCAAUCAGAAAUAAUAUCCUCAGAAUGAUUUAGAACGAGAGCAUAUGAAGAGCAUACCCUGUACCUCUGAAGUAGGGAGCUUGAUGUAUGCGCAGGUCUUUACCUGACCUAAUAUAGCUCAUGUAGUGGAAAUAUUGGGUAGAUACUAAAGCAACCCUGAUAUUAAUCAUUGGAAAGCUGCAAAAAAAGUUAUGAAAUAUUUAUAAGGAAUAAAGGAUUACAUAUUCACCUACAGACAUUCUAACCAUUUUGAGGUGGUUGGAUAUUCGGACUCUGAUAUUGCUGAAUGUGUGGAUUCUAGAAAGUCCACAUCAUGAUAUAUUUUCUUACUUUCUCAAGAUACUAUAUCUUGAAGGAGCACUAAGCAAGAUAUAGUUGCUACAUCUACUAUGGAAGCAGAGUUUAUCGCUUGUUAUGAUGCUUCGUCACAGGCUUUAUGGCUGAAAAAUUUUAUCUCAAGUUUAAGAGUUGUCGAUUCUAUCUUAAGGCCAAUUAAGAUUCAUUACGACAACUCUGCUGCAGUAUUCUUUGCUAAGAAUAGCUGAAUUACAGAUCACAACAAACAUAUCAAUAUAAAGUAUCUUGCUGUCAAAGAAUACGACAAGAAAAAUAUGGAUAUUCAACACAUUGAGACCGAAAUGAUGAUUGCUGAUUCUCUGACUAAAGCAUUGCCGGCAAAAAUGUUCAAGGAUCAUAUUCAUCGUAUGAUGAUCUUGAGUCCAUUUAUAGUUUAAGUAUUUUCUUCUUGUAUAAAAAUAUUGUAGUGUUCCAGAGGUUUGGAUAGGAUUGGCUACAGUAUUAGUGAUUGGUCGACACAUUUGGAGAGUGUCGGACUAAGACGGAGUCGUUUCUGCACGAAAUGGAUGCAGAAAUGGACUCGGCACACUCAAAUAAGCAAAACUGAAGUUUUGCCAGUUUCGGGCACCCAGAACUGGUUUAGGUCGCCCAGAACUCGAGUGCUGUUUUGAGCUGAACUGUAAGCCAAUUCGGAUCCUAGUUUCGGGCGCUUGGUUGUGGGUCCCAAAAUUCACCUCGUGAAUAUCGUUUGAGCUGACACGUGGCAGGUGGUAGGUGAGGUCCGCCGGACCAGGAUAUGGGUGAUGUACACUGCGAGCGGAGGAACCGAAGGGGAGUAAUUGUAUAGCCUGGGGUUUCGGACACCCAGAAAGAGGUUUUGGGCGCCCGAAAGUGGCCGUUUUUGCAGAGUUAUCAGGUUAGCAGCUAUUGUUCCGGGGCUUAUUGGACAAUUCUAACUCCCUAUAAAUAGAUGGAACUCGACCCCUGUGAGCUCUUUUUCUCCCUUCUUCACAGUGAAUCCUUAAUUUGCAUUUCAACCCCUCUAAACUUCUCAAAUUACUCCAUUUCUACAAUUUGAAGCUAGAGGACUGUAGUUUCAGCAGAAUUCCUGCAGCGACCUUCGGCAUUUUGGCUCGUAUGCGACGUAGGAAGGUCGGAUUAUUGUGAAACUUGGUUUUGUGGUUAGCUGACUUCCUGAAGAUUUUGUGGAACCCUGUUUGUAGGGUACCGGACUUCGAAAAUCAUGAGGUUACGGUGUCCAUUUGGUUGGAGAGCCAUUUGAAUGGUUCCGGUAAGGUUGCGGUGUAAUGUAAUAUACCGGAUUUAAAAAAAAAUAAAUAAAUAAAAAUAGUAUGAGAUACUAUUUUAUUGGAUUUAGAGAAGUAAAAUAUAAGUCAGAAGUGACUUGUGCUGAAAUCGGGAUGAAAACAGAAUAUUUAGAAUUUUCUGUGUGAAACGGGGCAGAUAAAUUAGCAUAAAAUGCACAGUGUCAAAAAAUUAUGAAAACUGGAGGAUAAGUCAGAAUUAUUUUUAUGAGGCUAGAUUUAAAGUUUCAGCCCAUUCUGACACCCGUAGAGUGAGAAUAAAAUCCGACAGUCAUCUGAUAAAGAUUACAAUUCGGUACAGCUUUCGGUGACCAAAUGGGGUCGAAACUGAAAUAUUAAAAUUUCUUUGGACUCUUUAAGUAAAACCGAAUAUGACUGUCAGAUUUGAGCUCAAACGGAUAUUCAGGGAGUUCCGGCGAAAGAUAUCAGAUUUCAAGCUGCCUGAUGUGAAUAGUGUACGCUACUAUUGAGGGUUGACUAUAAGUAGAAGCUACUAGGCUUCUCCCUCUCCAUCAGCCGACCACCAUCUCCACCACCACACGUUCAUGGUGUAGUGAGAGAAACUCUCCCUUUUCUCUCUCUAAAUAUCUCUCUCAUCUCUCUAUAUUUCUCGCCCAAAUUCGCGGCGUUGGUGGAGAUCGAGCUUGCGAACGCGUUGGAGGCGACGGAUUGAGCUUUCGUGCGCCCGUUGAAGCGACGUGUUUUCGUUGCGGCGUUCACAUUGGGGUAAGCUUUUGGGAUUUGGCUUAAUCCUUAGCUUUAAGAGUUCUAGUAGCCUCUAAUGAGCAUUCUUAGUAUGUUGCUCCGUUUAAUUUGGAUUAUUUGGGGGUAAUUGCAUGUUAGGGCUCAAAAAUGGGAUUUCUCAAUAUGUAAGGGUUUGAUCUCAUUUGACCCUCUAUAAACCUAAUUGCAAGGUAAACGAACGCAUUGGCGAAGUCGGUUCGGCGAUUCGUCGAGCCGUUGUAAAGUUAUUAAAGAAACGGUCGUUUAGGCAUCGUUUCCGCCUGGAGGGCCGAGGCGACAUCGUAUACUUAUGAAAACGGAUUUGAAGCAUCGUGGCACAUAACCGAAGACCUUUAAUUUUCGGAUCGUGAAUUGGUGGCCAUUCGGGUGGUCGCACAAGAGUUUGGCCCGAACCGGACCACGUGCGCCGCGGGAGGCCGAUUGCGAGUGACGACGAGCAAUCAGAACGCUAUAAAAGGUGGGUGGUGUCCAUCCCGAAGCAACCGGGCUCCUUUUUAUGUCUAAGUUUUAUAUUGAUCAAAUUGCAUAUUGACAUCUUGCAUUAUAGGGUGAUAAAUGAUGGUUUGGUCCUAUACCUUGCAUGUUCUUUGGUAGAAUAAUGUAUUUGGCUUAGUACUUAUAUCUAGCAUGCUUGAGGUUUAUAUAUGUGAUGUGGAACCCUAUAAUGAGAUGAUAAGUGUGGAUGGGAAUUUAGUAAUGUAUUGGCUAUUGCAUUGGAAACUUGUAAAGAACGAGUGGCAUCUAGUUGAUAGUAAACAAAAGAACAGAUCGAGUGACCAUAUGUGAGAUUCGUAGUGUAUAUGGAAACCUAUUGGACUUAUAUAUGAUUGUAACCUAGAGGAUGAGGGUGAUUCUCGAGGACAGGAUUGGAUGUCAUGCUUAACGGUCUGUUUUUAAAUCUUGUGAUGGAAGCCCACACAAGUAGUGCGCGGUCCGCGAAGUUGGUCACGUGGGAUCUGCCCUAUUUUGGGCGUCCGCAACGGGAUUGGCUAUUUUGGCCCCGCCAGAUCGGUCUCAUAUUGGUUCGUAGUAUGAGUUAAUCUCCCUAACGCGUCGAGAUGGCUAGUGAGCUGUAGGCGAGCUCUGUCGGUAUGCAUGGAUAAUGAACACUAAAUGAGAUUCUGGAUGAAAACGAGUAAAUAGCUUUUACCUUUUGGAACAAUGAAUUAAUGUUUAGUUUGUUUUAUACUAUUUCAUUGUACAUGCAUCUAUAUAUUUAUGAAGUCGGCAUAGUAGCGUAGCUUUACUCCUGCAAAAGUUUGGAUCGAUUGGGUGCAAAGUUGGUAAACCUCUAAAGACGGAUGAUUAAUAAAUGGACUCAGAGGUUUUGAUUUAUUCUCAGCAGGGUGUUCAUGGUUGGAUCAUACAAACAUGAAACUUGGUUGGUAGAGAAUAAGGCACGCCUUGUAUGUACUUUCGCCGGCGAUUGAGUCGCGUCAUCUAAUAGUUGCGACGAGGUUAGCAGGUUAGGUAAUAGCCCCGAUUGUUGUGUUUCAGGAGGCUAUGGCACCAAGGAGACACUACGCGCGCGGUGAUUCGUUUCCGGCAUCGCUCCGCCUCGCCGAGGUGCCUUGAGCAGAGCUGGGUCAAGUGAACGUGCAAAGAAUUUACUGAAGCGCCAGAUGACUAGCGGCUUAUCGGGUGAUUCAACGCCAAAGAAGUCAGAUCGAGCGGCUCCUAAGACUUUUGGAGCGAUCAUAGUGCGACGGCGGCUCGUGUAUGAACAACUGAAGGCGCUAUGGUCGCGCCCGCCCCUCGCUCGUCGCCGUUAUACGCUGAUGCGCCUUGAAGGGCGUGAGCAUUUUGGUGACUCCGGCGGUGGUCGGCAUCCCGCUCUGCAAGAAACUAGUGUCUCUCUGGCGGUUUUCGGUCCUUACGAUGACGUCAAUGCCGGACAGCUGGGGAAGUGAGACAUAGGUAACGCGAGGCGUUUCAAGGAGAGGUGGAGUUGAUAGAAUACGGUCCUGGAUGGUUCGGGGGAACAGUUCGAUUCAAAAGGGCCCCGAUCAAAAGGCGCGUCCAUGUUAGACAGGACCAUGCAGCUGGCGUGACUGCGGAGAAGAGCAUCGCGGCAGCGACUUUUAAGGUCGGGCGCGGCGGUUGCUUCAGUGUGUUCCGGCGGGACAAUAUGGCCCGUUCAAGUGCGAGAAGGAGUGCCACCUGCCCCGUCAGUUGCAAUCCCCCAGAAGACCAGCGGCAUUUCGGCAGGAGUUCCGUUGCUUAACUGCCGUAUCUGCAGGGUGUGUGAUUUUGUGGAGGAUCCCACCAGGCGGCGGCGUCGGCACUUGCGUAGAGUGCGAAAAGGAGGGGGUCAGGGAAAAGGGGGGAAAGGGGGGUGAAACAAAAAAAAGGUGUUUUCGUUGUGCGGCAAGUUCUGGGCCAUGAAAUAUGAUUGCCCCUUGAGCAUGGACGACUGCUACCGGGCCGGCAGGAACAACUUUACACUUCUGGGUCAAGAUGGUGGAUGUGCAUGGCUUGUGGACGUCUGAGAGCUUGGGGUGGUCCGAAAAGCGGCCGGCCGAAGGACUUUCAGGUGAGCGCCAAGCGGCCCGAUCACGCGGCUCAAGUCGAGGGAACCUGCUGCUGGUUGGUGAUGUCACGUAGGUAUUGAUUUAAUUAAGCAUCAUUAAUAUCUAGCAAGAACGUUUAAGCAGAUUGCAAUGGCAUUUGCUUUGGUCUUUUACUAGCUAUUUUACAUUUAGUAUAGUGCAGAGCCAGGACGCAGGUUAGUGUAGUUAUCCCCCCCAGCAUGCAUAGUCGUGGUGGAUGUCGCCUACCCCUAAAGGGAUUGGUGGAUUAGUCAAUGCGGCAAUACUUAGUGAGCUAACCGAGAAGCAAGAAUCCGUUGGGGAUUCUGUGCGUUGUAGCGUGUAGGGACAGGCGCACACCUAGCCGUACGUUUGCUUGUAUAGAGAGUCGGCAAGGGUGAUCGGUUAGAAAGGCAUUUCGAACGAACUCUAUUACCUGGUUCUCUCCGAUGUCUGGGAUGAGUUCAUGGGGAUAGUAUCCUCGUUUACUUCCCGCGAUGGUGAUAGAGGGAAGUUCAGGAUUAGGGGUGACUGGGCCGGGCCUAAAAAGGCCCGGCUGGGCCAUGUUUGGGCCGGGCUUUGGGUAUUAAAAAUACAACUUUGGGUUCGGGCCGGGUUUAAAAAUUUAGGCCCGAAAAAAUUUUGGGCCUAUUUGGGCAUGUCCAAGCCCGACCCGAGCCCGACCCAAAAGCCCGAUAUAUUAAUUAUCAAAAUAAAAUAUUUAAUUAUAUAUAUUAUUUAUCUAUAGUAUAUCAUAUAUAGUAUAUAUUGUUAUUAAUGAGCUUAUAUAUAUGAGGAUAUAUUAUAUAUUAACAAAAUAUUUAGUUCUAUAUUAUGAUAUAUUUGAUAUUAGAUAUUAAUUUCUUUGAUGUGAUAAAACUAAAAAUACGUAUUUUAUUUUAAUUUUAUACAAAUAAAAGUAUUUAUGUAUUAUAUGAUAAAUGCAUAAAAUGGGCCUCCACAAAGCCCGAUGGGUAUUGGGCAUUGGGCUUGGGCUUGGGCCGGGCCUUAAUUUUAAAAAAAAUUGGCUAAAAGCCCGACCCGAAGCCCAACAUUUUUUUUGGGCCGGGCUUGGGCAUAGUAAUACCCCAACUAAGCCCGGCCCAGUUCCACCAGGAUAAGUUUCCGAAGCUGUGGUAGGUAAACUGCACCGUGAGACGAUACGAGCAGGAGUUCUCCCGUGUCAUGAAAUGCAUCCUACACGUAGUGCGGAUGACGAGGACAUGGCCGAAUUGCUUGUGCGGAGAUUUCGGCCGGGCGUUGUUAAAGUCGUUUAUGUAGGGGAAGUGGAUUCUCAAAAUCCGAGGAUUUGACUUCGUCGGAAAUUGACUAAUUGUCGAGUGUGUAGGCUUCGGAGAAGCCGAAGAUGUCUAAAUCACCAAAAGUACAUUGGAGUUGGAGUCCACGAGAGCAAUAGUGCAAGGUCUGCACUUGGUGGAGUUGCUCUCGGGGACCGGUCCCUGGCAGGGAGGAACCGGUCCCCGUAGCCAAUGGUUGCAGGGUUGCUUGAUGCAACCGGUCCCUGGAUCUGAGGGACCAGUCCCCCCCGUAUGCGAAAUCGUCGAGAAGCGAAAAAUUGGCUAAGUCCCGGAAAUGCCACUCUCGGGAAUCGGUCUCUCAGCAGGAACCGGUCUCCCGAGGACCGGUCUCUCGGGCAAGGACCGGUCCCCGUAGCUCAAAAUUGCCCAGUUUGGGGCAAUGCACCUUCUUGAUUCCAAUCGCAAUCUCGAACCUCGGAGGUGCCUUUAUUGACUUCCUUGAGAUGCGGGAUUGUGGGAGUUCUCACCGAGCACGUAAUGUGCGUUGCGUGGUGAGAUAGGCAUUCGUGCGGUCGAUUGCAGGGUCGCGUUGUAGGAGGUAGCCUCUUCCUCUCCGAGACAGUUUGUGGAUGUGAAGUCUACAGAGUGGUCUAGAGAACGAGUGGUGAGGAAGUGACGACGGAAGGCUCGCGGCGGGCAACGAGCGUCCGUGAGUACGCGACCUUGGUCGAAGGACCUUGCAUGCAUUCGUCGUGUGGUCGCUUGCUAUCGUCGAUGCAUCGAUGUAGUAAGGACCAAAGUGACGGACAAGUGUAAAUACCCGAGCAUGCUUGCGCGUGAGGGUGUAACGCUUGCUGGAGUAGAUGGAGGGCUAGACGGUACUAGCAAAUUGCUAGUAGUGGAAUCACUGUUGAGAGAGUAGCCGUAUAGUUGCCGAAUACGAGAACGUUAGCCGAGUAGUACCUCAAGUUGAGGUCAGCGAGUCAUGCUCGUGUAGUGGGUAUGCAUAGGCAAGGUUGCCUAAUGCUGACCUAGUUGGAACGCAGUAGAGGCGUGUAGAGCGCUCGAGUGUAAUUACGCGUGAAGUGCGGUUUCGAUUCAGCCGGUCGAGUGAAUUGGCAGUAGCACUUCGGCAGGGCUAAGUGUGAAGCGGGCCACGGAUCACUCGUGAGGGCUGGUGGCUCAUACUAGGUGCUUAGGCACUUAGGAGUCGGUAAUGGUACGUGUAACUCAAUAGAGUAUGUCGUAUAAGACGACGACGGCGAGUAGUGCUUGGGGACGAUCCGUGCCUGGACCAUUUGUGGACUGUGGAGCCUGGGCCCAUUGGGCAGGCACAGUCAGCUGUGAGAGACAGCGGCCCAAUGUAGGGCAGAAUUUUGGUCAGGGCGGUAGUCCAAGCUGAGACUCGGGAGCGUGGAAUGACACACGUGGAUCAUGAGAUCAAGGUUACACCUAGUGGGUAGUGACCCAACCCAAGGAUUCGACGUGGUUUGAGGUCUUAGUUGCUCCUGGUUGAAGUGUGUGCGAAUUCUCCAAUAAGAAUUUCGCCCAGUAGUGAUAAUUGGGUCUACACUGGUGAGCGAGAGACACUACGCGUAGUUGAGACUGGUUUAAGCGACAGGUCUACGUAGGAUUGGUGACCUGUGGUUCACCUAUGGAUUUGAUGAAAGUGGUUGAGCGAGUAGCCUCAGUGAUGGGCGUGGCCUAGAAUGACGAACGGAUGUUCAUGUGGAUUCGUUGCACGAACGAGUUGGUGAUGGUCGUGGCAUAUGGUAUUCGAGGAUAUACUGCUCGCGUGAGACAUUGAGCUAUUGGAAGCCACGAGAGGUAGAGGAUUGAAGUUGAUGCCCCUAAGUGAAUUGGAGCUUGAGGAUAAUGCUCUUUUAAGGGCUGAGUUGGAGAUGUGCCGAAGCGUGCCAUCCCGCGGUAGAGCAAGGGUCUGGUUGAAGAUUGGAGCACUCGCAGUGGGUCGAUGCACCAAUGAUAUUGCUUCUAGGCGAUAUUGGUGAUCGAAUUGGAGUGUGACCCCUAGAGGGAUGGUGAAAGUGAUGAAGAGUCGUGAAUGAGAAAUACGAACUCUUGGAUAGCCAAAGUGGCGGAGCGCCGCUUUGUUGACAUUCGGGUGAUUCGAGAGGGCUUACCCGUGUGUGCUGUGUCGUGGUGGUGGACCAUAUGACUAUUGGUGCGUUCUUGAUAGCUCCACACCAUGAGGAUAGCGGGUAGUCCCGGUCUCGAGGGAGGUGGUUUGGCCUUAGUGGGCCAGUUAGCGAAUGGCGUUGGAGCGCGUAGAGCCGUUGAGCCUCGACUUGCGCUGCUACCAAGAAUAACGGAGAACGUAAUGCACCUUGCGAGAUGCGCCUUGCAAAGUUGUACGAGUUGGGUAUUGUACCCUCCGUGUUGGGCCUCUUGGAUAGUUGCAAAGAGGGUAAAGCCAUUCCGAACUAGAAAAGUGCAUUAGCGCCCUAAAUUGCUCAAGGAGCCGAAUUGAGGCGUGGUUUGAGUUUCGCGGACGAAACUCUUUUUAAGGAGGGGAGGAUGUAAGGUACCGGACUUCGAAAAUCAUGAGGUUACGGUGUACGUUCGAUUGGAAAGCCAUUUAAAUGGUUCCGGUGAGGCUGCGGUGGAAUGUAACAUACCGGAUUUUUAAUAUAAAAGUGAAAAUAAGUAAAAAUAGUAUGAGAUACUAUUUUAUUGGAUUUAGAGAAGUAAAACAUAAGUCAGAAGUGACUUGUGCUGAAAUCGGGAUGAAAACAGAAGAUCUAGAAUUUUCUGUUGGAAACGGGACAGAAAAAUUAGCAGAAAAUGCACAGUCUCAGAAAAUUAUGAAAAUUGGCGGGGAUGCCAGAAAUAUUUUAAUGAGGCUA